This 50853-nucleotide long non-coding RNA is filed under the name Lathyrus oleraceus (garden pea). RNAcentral's name for it is "Pisum sativum (pea) long non-coding RNA (PSAT_LNC001091)". The record is from RNAcentral. Lineage: Eukaryota; Viridiplantae; Streptophyta; Magnoliopsida; Fabales; Fabaceae.
UUGUAAAUGGUAAUAGAUAUAAGAAUAAUCGUUUCUUAUAGCUUAUCUUGUAAUUUUUGUGUGUAGUUUAUAGCCUUGAAUGCUUUAUAAAUGGAUUCUUACAUGACUGUGAAUUUGUGACAUGAAUUAUACAUAUUUCAAUGAUGAACAUAAGUUGCUAAAGCCUAUAUGGCUGGAACCAAAGUUAACUAGAAAUGUAAUAAGUGGUUUGGAAGUGUGGAGAAAUUUCCAAUGAUAAAUUUUUGUUAACAAUGAUUGAAAAUAUGCAUUCAUGUGAUAUGGAUGGAGGAUAGUAAUUGAAAUGAGUGGUUUUAGGUGAUAUUGGAAUUUCCUGAUGCAUAUGCUGAGUUCUUUCCAAAGAAAAAAGCAAAAAAAAGGAAAAGGAAAAAAAAAAACAAGAAAAAAAAAAAAUUUGGGCCCGGGGGAAAAAAAAAUUUUAAGGGAGUUUUUGAUCGAUCACGUGUGGCAUUGAAGAAAUUUCUUUCCAGGGUUCGAAAGGAGGUCUGCUGACUGUCAAAAGCAGAUUAAAGACAAAUUUGUGUGGUGGCAGGAUGAAAGGCAGGAUUCUCCAGUCAGUGUGUGCUAUUCGAAAGUAUCGAAAGCGCUUAAUGCAGGUAUCAUUUGGCAGCGGAGGUGCAAGCAAGAGAUGGAUAUGUUAUGGAAGAUUCGAGUUCCUAGCAGAAUCAGUAGUAUUUGGGUGUAGAAUGUUCCAGAACAGAUUACCUACAAACAUGACUGAAAAGACGCUUUGGUCAUUUCGGGAAGCCAUAGCUAGUUUGUCCCUUUUGGUUUUCAGAUGAGAGACAAUAGAAACAUCUGUUUGUGCGUUGCUCAUUUGCUGUUCAGUGCUUGGGAUGGAAUUGUUGACUGGCUUGAAAUGGAAGUUCCUGUUAUGAAUCUUCCUUUAGCAGCGCAUAGUAGUGUAAUUCCCUAAGAGCUUCAGAUCCGAGGCAGAAAUUGAAGGAACUGUUUGGCUGGCCUCUUGUUGGGCAUUGUGGCUUGUAGGAGGAAUGAGAUCUCUUCCAAGGGGGUUAAAAAUGUGGAUGUUGUUGUUAGGAAUGUAUGCUCCUGUCUUGGCACUGUGGUUUGAGUCGAACGCAUUGGGGUAUGGUUCCUGCGCUGGACGGAUUGGAUAGUCAAUCCUGUUUUGUUUAGCAAAGGAUCAUAAUUGUAAUCUCCUACGCAUAGCUCAGUGGAAAGAUUAAUCUGAAAGAACCUGUGUCUUCAAACAUAUGACCUUUAAGAUUGAAUUGAUGUGUCGGAGUAAAGUGUCUGCAACGGCAGCUAGUGGGGAUAAAUUGAUUAUGGCACUAUAAAACAUGGGUCAUCUCAACUUUAUGAGAACAAUCAAUCAUUUGAAGAAGGAGAAAACAUGAUUUAGGUUUACCUUGAAAUCAAAUUUCUAGUGAAAUGUGUGAAGAAUGUUUGCAGGCCAAGCAACAUAAGAAAUCAGUUUCAGUAAGGAUGCAGAAACAACUCAGAGCAUCUCUUGAAGUUAUAUACCUGGCGUUUUUGUAUUUACCAAGUGGAUUCAAUUGGAGGUAAAUGAAGCACUCUGUUACGAUUUAUAGAUUAUUUUAGCAUAAAAUUGAGCAUACUUGAUUAAAAGAAAAGUAAUGUGAUUGAUUGUGCUCACUUAAAUUCAAAUUUAUGGUGGAAAAGGCAAAAAUGGUCACAAGAUCAAGAUAAUUAAAGAAUGGAUGGUGGAUGAGAAUAGUAGCCCUCAUCAUUUUGAUGCAUUAUGUCCAAAGAGAAGUAAUUGUUCAUAAGGUGGUGUCAUCAUCACACCUCAACAAAUAGGCCUAGACAGGGAGAAAAAAUAAGGAUCAAUCAUGAACAGGUGAAAAGUACGUUGAAGACAAGCAUCUACCUAAUGAAUAUGGGGUGAGAUUUGUGUCCCCACUGUGUAUACUAUAAUUUUUACCCUAUGUUUUUCAUUAGCAUACAACAUAUCAUGAUCAUUCCAUUUGAUCAUGGCAUCCCAUCCAAGUCAUAGACUUCAUCAGGGUUUCAGUGAAAAAUCAGGGUUUUGACAUUUCAUUUGAUCUCAUUUAGCAUGACAUUCAUUCAUGCCAUAGACUAGGAAUCAAAGAGUAUUCCCUAGUCUCAUGUUGUCCUUUCAUAUUUUACAUCAGGUCUCAAAUAAGACUUAGAUAAUUCAUAGUUCCAAAAGUACUAUUAGUCAUGAAUCUUUGUGAGUUUGUUUGUUUUAGUAAUCAAUAUUUAAAUGUAAUAGCCCAAAGAGUUAGUCAGUUCACAUUUAUUUUCUCUAGACAAUUAUUCAUUGAUCAUUGUCAUCCAUCAAAUUUUCAUUAGAUUGGAAGUUUAUGUCAAGGAACUUGAACCUUUUUUGCUUGAGUUUUUGUUACUAAAGUUCAUUUGCAUUGCAUUUUUAAUUUUUAUGCAUCAUUAGCACCUAGUAGGGAAUGAGACAAAAGUCAAGGAAGGUUUGACUUUUUAAUCUUUUCCCCCUUAUUUUAUUCCUAAUUUCAUCUCAUCUGUUGAUUUGUUUUAAUAAUAUAAACAACGUUAUUUGCAUAAAUAAUUGAAACUUUUAUUGGAAUUUUUGUUUUGCAUUCAUAUUAGUGUACUUAGUAACAUUUCAUAUCAUUAACAUACAUAUUAAUUUACAUAUGUGCCUCUUUUCAUCAAUAUGCAUAAAGUCAAUAAAAGCACAAAAAAGAGAAAGGAAGUCAGCUCAUUUGUCAGUCAAGUCAUGUCGUGUGAGCUAAAGCUACAUCAAGUCCUUGUCCUUGCAAACCGUCGCCAUCCCACUUCUCAAGCUAUCCCUAAGUUUCCUCCAUUUGAGUUGUCUUUUAAUCAAAUCCUUCUCAAAGCAUGGUUAUCUCCCUUUGAAUCUUCAUCCAAGCAUUUACAUCAUAUGCCACAAUAAAGACAAAAAGGAGAAUGAGAUAAUUUCUAUUAGAGCAAUCAAGAUGGGGGCCAACAAAUUUAUGCCAUGCAUUGGUAUUACAAUUCAUCUGAAAUUUCACAAAACUCAACAAUGUAUGAUGCAUACAAAAAAUUUCAUUCACAGACUCCAAAUAUUUCACUAACGUGUCAGCUACCCUAUAUAAAUCAGCAAUUGUUUCAUUCAAGAAGACAACACAUUUUCAUUUAGAGUCACUCUGCAAAAUCUUCAUAGGCCGGUUCGCCUUAUAUAUUAUUUCCCUAUAAUGAAUUAAUCUAUGUGGAGCUUAAAGCUCAUAUUUCUCUGUUGAGUUACUUAGCCAUAAUUCACACAUCGUCAAAUCCUCACACUAAAAGCUCAAAGCAAACAUUAAUUUAACUCUGACUUUCACUUUGGAAAUCAGAGUGAGACUAAAACUGCAAUUAACACAAGUCUAACCAACAACAAUAUUACACACAUCACAUACAAUAGCACAUAGAGCAAAGAUCAAGAGAAAGAGAAAAAGGAGAGCGAGACGAAAUCUGAAGCAUAAAGAGAAGAGGAAACACAUUUGGUUUUUGAGGGUUUAGGGUUUAAGUUUUUAGGUUUCUAAGUGAUAUCUAGGUAGGGAUGAAUUUCCGGUUGAAAGUCCACCAGAGUUUCAUGUUGUUUAAAGGUGGCUCAGGGAGGUUUCUGGGUUAGGAUGAACUUUCUGGUUGAAGUUCAACCGGAGUUCAUAUUGUUCAUCGGCUAUGGUGGUUGGGUGAGGGCGGUAUGUUUUUUGGGGGAGGCCGAAGGUGGUGAUCAAAUAAUCUCUCCUCUCUCUCUCUCUUCUCUCCCUCUCUCAUCCUCUCUCUCUGGUUUGAGUAUUUAAACUCUCUCAUAAGGGUUGUUCCAUCUGUGGAGACUUGGCACCCAUGCAGGUUGUUCCAGCCUAACUCUCUUCCUGCAUGUCCCACUCCAAUGUAACCCUUACACCCUAAUGAUUUGCCCUUUGAUCUGCUUGACCACUUCAAGUAUGUUGCAUCUUUGCUUCAGGAGAGAGUCCAACUAAUUGACUCUCCUUGGGCUUUUCGGAUUGGGUCCUAGGUCCACAACUAACUUUUCCGCCCCCCUGUGUUCUUUUGCAUUUACGAUUUGCCCUGGUUCUAUUUUUGGCAAUAACCCAUUUUUUAUCUUUAAUUGUUUUUUACUAUUUAUUUUCCAUAUUUUGGUUUAAUUUGUGAAAUAUAUUUAAUAGAUUAUUUAGUUUAAUUGGUCAUUAAUUAAAUUUAAAUUAAUUAAUUUUUAAAUGAUUUAAUUUUAUUAAAUUAAUUCGUAUUACUUAAUUAAAUUAGACCUGGUUUUAUUUUACCUCUCUUGUUAUGUUUUGAUUAUUAUCAUAAUACUUCUCAUUUCAAUUUUGUAAUUCAUUAAUCAUCUUGAUUAUGUUUGUUAGCAAUUUGUUUAAAUGACUAACAAAUUAAUUGAUGAAUAAAAAAAUUACAUUAUUUUGUUCGUAAACCUUUUUAAAAAUGAUUGAAACCCUUGGCCCAACACCAAGAGUGUUUUUUGAAAAAACUGGUCAACACCAAUGAUUUUUCUCCCCAAAUCGUUUCCACAUUCCCGUUUCCUACGCGAAUCAAACCUCGAUCACUCGAGCGCUUUUUCCAUUUGAAAGUCAAAACAUUAGUCAUAUCUUGAACACCAAUUUUACAGGUUGAAAAUGGAGAUAGCUAUGAGCCUUUGAUCUCCUCCUCCUCGAUUGUUUGGAUACAAUCUCCCUUACUCGAGCCAUUUGGAGAAAUCGUCAUCCCUAUAAAAACUUCUAAUGUAAUUCAUCUCAAACCACUUUCAUAAUCAAUUCUAAUCAAACUCAGUUUUCAUAAACAACUUGGACGAAAAGGAAGUGUCUAGAGCCUUCUAUUCUCUUCCCCGAAUACUUGGAUACGAGUUUCCUUAAUCGCCGUUCGAGUAUUCAUCGUCAUCUGACCACAAUCAUUAACAUUACUCAAAAUCCUUUUUAUAAUUAAAGGAUGAAAAGGAGAUGGUCCUAGAACCUUAUAUUCCUCUUCUCGAUAUUCGGAUACGAGUUGCCUACUCUUCGAGUUAAUCAUCAUCCAAAAAAAAUAUUCAACAAAUCAAACCUUAUUUUACCCAUUACGUGACUUCGGAAAACCUUUUCAGAAACGAGUAUGCUUUAAUCCAUAAUCAAUGUUGAAACAAACAAAUGCUUCUGACUCUAAAGAGAGAAGCUAAGCAGGUUUAAACCACUUCGAUAUAUCUAAAGACAUACUCCUGAAAAGUAACCAACAAACAGUUCUUUUUCUAUAAAACAACAAACCCUACGUACCUUUCAGUUCUCCAUCUCACCUAGAGAUACUAGGAAUGGGAUUUUGAAAUCUAGUCAGGCACAUUAAUAAAAAAAAACCUAAAAAUCUUUUCUUUUCUUUUCUCUCGCUCAAUAAGUCAAAGAAACAAUUAAAAUUCGCUAACAUUCAAUUGCAAGUUUUAACUUAUAGGUUCUCGUUGAUACAACGGCGUGAGGGGUACUAAUACCACCUUCCCCUUACGAUAAAUCGACUACCAAACCCGAAUUGGUUGCGAAGGACCAUUUUUAUUUUCUCUUACGAAUUUUAUUCGAUAUUUUCUCUUUCCUUUAUAGGAAUAAAAUAAAGUUAUAUAUGUGGUGACUCCCUGUUCGAAUCAAAUUUUCUGCGAGCGUGUGAACGCUUACGAAAGGAUAAUAUUUUCGAAUACGAGAACUGCAACCUUCAGGCCUGGCGAAUGGGGAAGCAUUAAUCUCGAACCUGCUGGGGAAUAACCAUCCGAACCCUGCUAGGGAGGCCACAGACCUUGAAUCUGUUGGGGGAUUGUCAUUCCACUCUGCUUGGAAAGAUGAGGAAAAAUCUGUAGCUGACACACCGUCGAUUCGCCGAACCUUGGUAUUCAAUAUCAAUUCCCAAUAUCAGCUUUCCACUUUUGGAGAGUUCCCAGACUCGUCUGGACCUUUUUCUGCCUCUAUUCAUCUGGUAUUUCCAACGCGCUCCGCACUCGACGGAGAGCGAACCCCUGGGUGUACACAGACUUUUCAUUUUUCAGACUUUGAAGGGUCUUCUUGAUUAAAUUUCCACGGAUCAUUCGUACGCCUGCGCCGUCUUUUCACCGUUCUUCUUAUCAUUCGUCCCUGAUUGGACUCAUGGGGAUCGUCUCGUCCAAGAGCUUCACAUCCCAACCUGCAAGUGAGGGGAAAUAUCUAACAGUACCUGCAAAAGAGAUCGUUAGAUAAAACCGUGCCCCAGGCGUGUCAAGAUUCAACAAUUGGGUCACUCCCACUUCCGAAUAAGAUUCAAGCUUUCAAUCUAUAAAGCAUCAUUGGAAGGGACCUGUAUGUUUAAACCUGCAAAAUUCUUUAUCAAAAAAAUAACCUGGAUUUUUUGCAAUCAAAGCGGUAAUGAAAAAGCAAAAACAAAAUUAUUUGACUGAAUAAUGCAUUUUUAUUGAUUGAAAAAGUGGUGGCUCACCAUUGAGCAAUACAAAGGAAGCAAUUCUGAAAAGAGGUAAUUGCGGCACAAAAAGAAAAAUCUAUCCUAAUGGAAAUGUUGAAACCUGCGAUCUCAUCGAGUUCCAACUCGGUUAACACCCCUAGUGUCAUCAGAAAUCUCCAGUGCUUUCUGCCUUCUGAACAAGACGCUUCCGACUGAUCCCUACCGGGUUAUCCAUGAUGCUGUUAACGCAAAGCACAAACGAUCAAUGCCAGAGCGCAGUUGUUCGUCAAUCCCUCUUUGCCUGACCGCCCUAUUUCCGGUUUUCAAGUCCACCGGGAUACCCUUUUUUUGCCCAAAGUCGCCCUUUCAGGUUUUCGACUUGCGGUUGUACAGUUUUUUUUCAUUUUAAUCCCUACUUUUUGCCCUGAACAUUUUCUUUUCUUUGUUUUUCGGUUCGCCGGGAUGCCCUUUUUUGCUGGACUAUUUGUAUUCUUUUCGUCCAGCGGGUCUUAUUUAUACGAGUAUUUUUUAACUGCGUCCGCAAUUCAAACCAGGGGAUGAAAAUCCUCGCCAUCACAUGGUCAUUAGGCACAAGGCUCCGCCAGAGAAACCUUCUUGACCACGAAUGGACCUUCAUAAUUGGGUGUCCAUUUUGCCCCUACGAUCGUUUUGAGGCCGGAAGAUCCUUUCAAGCACCAUAUCACCUAACGUGAUAUAACACCCGAGCUCGUACCUUUUUUUAUCAAAGCACGCCUUCAUCCGCUGCUGGAUAACUUGCCCAUGACAGAUGGCUGCUAAGCCUCUUCUCUUCAAUAAGGCUCAACUCCUUCAUACCGGGUCCUUACCCAUGUCAGCCUCUGCACAUUUAGUCAAAUAAUUUUGUUUUUGUUUUUCAUUACCGCUUUGAUUGCAAAAACAUCCAGGUUAUUUUUGAUAAAGAAUUUUGCAUUUUAAGACAUACAGGUCCCUUCCAAUGCAUGCUUAUAAGAUUGAAGCUUGAAAUCUUAUUCGGAAGGUUGAGUGACCCAAUUGUUGAAAUCUUGACACGCCUGGGGCACGGUUUUAUCUAACGAUCUCUUUUGCAGGUACUGUUAGAUAUUUCCCCUCACUUGCAGGUUGUGAUGUGGAAGCUCUUGGACGAGACGAUCCCCAUGGAGUCCAAUCAGGGACGAAUGAAUAGAAGAACGGUGAAAAGACGGCGAGGCGUACGAUGAUCCGUGGAAAUUAAUCAAGAAGACCCUUCAAAGUCUGAAAAUUGAAAAGUCUGUGUAAAUCCCAGGGGUUCGCUCUCCGUCGAGUGCGGAGCGGUUGGGAAUACCAGAUGAUAGAGCAGAAAAGGUCCAGACGAGUCUGGGAACUCUCAAAAGUGGAAAGCUGAUAUUGGAAUUGGAUAUUGAAUACCAAGGUUCGGCGAAUCGACGGGUGUUCAGUACCAGAUUUUCCUCAUCUUUCCAAGCAGAGUCUAGGUCCAGACGAGUCUGGGAACUCUCAAAAGUGGAAAGCUGAUAUUGGAAUUGGAUAUUGAAUACCAAGGUUCGGCGAAUCGACGGGUGUUCAGUACCAGAUUUUCCUCAUCUUUCCAAGCAGAGUCAGAAUGACUAAUCCCCCAACAGAUUCAAGGUCUGUGGCCUCCCUAGCAGGGUUCGGAUGGUUAUCCCCAGCAGGUUCGAGAUUAAUGCUUCCCCAGUCGCCAGGCCUGAAGGUUGCAAGUUUCCCAGCGGAAGUAUCUGUGUGCGGUGGUUCCUCAAGCGGAGUCAGGAUUGAUAUCCCCAGCAAGUCAAAGACAGUUGUAUCCCCACAGAGUGCAUGGGUGGUGCUUCCCCAGCAAUGUCCCCAGGCGGAUUGGGUGCAAAGGAGGUUUUCCCCAGCAGGGGUUGCUUUUCUCAGCAGCAGUGCUAUUCCCCAGCAGGGUGGAAUCGGAGUGUUGACGAGUUCCUCAGCAGAGUAUCUCGAGCUCCCCAGACGAGUCCCUUGAGGGGGAUGCCUUUUUAUACAUUCAUCAUGAAAAAUAGCAUGGCAUAUUGCAUAAAUAAAUCGCGUAGCAUUUCCAUAAUUAUGGAGCAUUACGCUGAAAAAAUAUCAUGCAUCAUAUUGCAAGCAUAAGCUAGUCUCAAGCCGUGGUUAUUGUUUGAGAGGUGGUUUUGCCCAAAGGUGAAGGUGUUACUCUGAGGAGUUUAGCAUAGGUCCAGACGAGUCUGGGAACUCUCAAAAGUGGAAAGCUGAUAUUGGAAUUGGAUAUUGAAUACCAAGGUUCGGCGAAUCGACGGGUGUUCAGUACCAGAUUUUCCUCAUCUUUCCAAGCAGAGUCGGAAUGACUAAUCCCCCAACAGAUUCAAGGUCUGUGGCCUCCCUAGCAGGGUUCGGAUGGUUAUCCCCAGCAGGUUCGAGAUUAAUGCUUCCCCAUUCGCCAGGCCUGAAGGUUGCAAGUUCUCGUAUUUCGAAAAAUAUUAUCCUUCGUGAAGCGUUCACACGCUCGCAGAAAAUUGAUUCGAACAGAGUCACCACAUAUAUAACUUUAUUUAUUCCUAUAAAGGAAAGAGAAAAUAUCGAUAAAAUUCUUAAGAGAAAAAUAAAAAUGGUCUUCGCAACCAAAUUCGGGUUUGGUAGUCGAUUAUGUAAGGGGAAGGUAUUAGUACCCCUCACGUCCGUUGUAUUCAACGAGAACCUAUAAGUUAAACUUGCAAUUGAAUGUUAGCGAAUUUUAAUUGUUUUCUUUGACUUAUUGAGCGAGAGAAAAGAAAGAAAAGAUUUUUAGGUUUUUUUUUAUUAAUGUGCCUGACUAGAUUUCAAAAUCCCAUUCCUACGUAUCUCUAGGUGAGAUGGAGAACUAAAGGAUACGUAGUUCUUUAUAGAAAAGAACUGUUUGUUGGUUACUUUUCAGGAGUGAUUCUUUAGAUAUAUCGAGUGGUUAAACCUUUGCUUACUUCUCUCUCUUAGAGUCAGAAGCAUUUGUUUGUUUCACAUUGAUAUGGAUAAAGCAUACUCGUUUCUGAAAAGGUUUCCGAAGUCACGUAAUGGCGUAAAAUAAGUUUGAUUUGUUGAAUAUUUUUUUGGAUGAUGAUUACUCGAAGAGUAAGGCAACUCGUAUCCGAAUAAUCGAGAAGAGGAAUAUAAGGUUCUAGACCAUCUCCUUUUCAUCCUUAAUUAUAAAAGGAUUUAGGUAAUGUUAAUGUAUUGUGGAUGGACGAUGAAUACUCGAACGGUCGAUUAAGGAAACUCGUAUCCAAGUAUUCGGGGAAGAGAAUAGAAGGCUCUAGACCACUUCCUUUUUCGUCCAAGUUGUUAUGAAAACGAGUUUGAUUAGAAUUGAUUAUGAAAGUGGUUUGAGAUGAAUUACAUUAGAAGUUUUUAAUGGAUGACGAUUUCUCAAAUGGUCGAGUAAGGGAGAUUGUAUCCAAACAAUCGAGGAGAGGAAUCAAAGGCUCUAGACUAUCUCCAUUUUCAACCUGUAAAAUGGUGUUCAAGUAUGACUAAAUGUUUUGACUUCAAAUGGAAAAAGCGCUCGAUGUUGAUCGAGGUUUUUAUUCGCGUAGAAACGGAAUGUGGAAACGAUUUGGGAGAAAAAUCACUUGGUGUUGGACCAAGGUUUUUCAAAAACACUCUUGGUGUUGGGCCAAGGGUUUCAAUCAUUUUUAAAAAGUUUACUAACAAAAUUAAUGUAAUUUUUUUUAUUCAUCAAUUAAUUUGUUAGUCAUUUAAACAAAUGCUAACAAACAUAAUCAAGAUGAUAAUGAAUACAAAUUGAAAUGAGAAGUAUUAUGAUAAAUAAUCAAAACAUAACAAGAGAGUAAAAUAAAACCAGGUCUAAUUAAUUAAGUUAAUAAGAAUUAAUUAAUAAAAUUAAUCAAUUUUAAAAUUAAUUAAUUAAAUUAAUUAAUGACAAUUAACUAAAUUAAUCUAUUAAAAUAUAUUUCACAAAUUAAACCAAAAUAUGAGAAAUAAAUAGUAAAAAACAAUAAAGAUAAAAAAAUGGGUUAUUGCCAAAAAUAGAACCAAGGCCAAAUCGUAAAUGCAAAAGAAAACAGGGGGCGAAAAGUAGUUGUGGACGCUAGCCCAAUCCUGAAAAAGCCCCAAAGAGAGAGUCAAAUAGUUGACUCUCUCCUGAACGCAAGAUGCACAUACUUGAAGUGGUCAAGCAGAUCAAAGGGCAAAUCAUAGGGUGUAGGGUACAUUGGAGUGGGGAACAUGCAGGGAAGAGAGUUAGGUGACAACCUGCAUGGGUGCCAAGUCUCCACAGAUGGACAACCCUAUGAGAGAGUUUAAAUACUCAAACUCAGAGAGAGAGAGAGAGAGAGAGAGAGAGAGAGAGAGAGAGAGAUUAUUUGAUCACCACCUUCGGCCUCCCCCAAAAAACAUAUCCGCCCUCACAACCACCAUAGCCCGAUGAACAAUAUGAACUCCGGUUGAACUUCAACCAGAAAGUUCAUCCUAACCCAGAAACCUCCCUGAGCCACCUUUAAACAACAUGAACUCUGGUUGGACUUCAACCGGAAAGUUCAUCCCUACCUAGAUAUCACUUAGAAACCUAAAAACUUAAACCCUAAACCCUCAAAACCAAAUUGUUUCCUCUUCUUCUUUAUGCUUCAGAUUUCGUCUCGCUCUCCUUUUUCUCUUUCUUCUUGGAUUUUGCUCUAUGUGCUAUUGUAUGUGAUGUUGUGUAAUAUUGUUGUUGGUUAGACUUGUGUAAUUGCAAGUUUUAGCUAUUCUCACUCUGAAUUUCAAAGUGAAAGUCAGAGUAGAAUUAAUGUUUGCUUGAGCUUUUAGUGUGAGGAUUUGACGAUGGUGAAUUAUGGUGAAGUAACUCAACAGAAAAUAUGUAGCUUUAAGCUCACAUAGAUUAAUUCAUAUAGGGAAAUAAUAUAUAAGCGAACCGGGCCUAAUGAGAUUUCUGCAGAGUGACUCUAAUGGAAAAAUGUGUGUCUUCUUGAAUGAAACAAUUGCUUGAUUUAUAUAGGGUAGCUGACACGUAUGAAAUAUUUGGAAGUCUGUGAAUGAAAUUUUGCUAUGCAUCAUACAUGUGAGUUUGUGAAAUUUCAGAUGAAUUGUAAUACCAAUGCAUGCAUAAAUUUGUGGCCCCCAUCUGAUUUUCUCUAAUAGAAAUUAUCCUCAUUCUCCUUUUUGUCUUAUUGUGCAUAUGAGUAAAUGGCUUGGAUGAAGUUCAAAGGAGAUAACAUGGCUUUGAGAAGGAUUUGAUUAAAGACAACUCAAAUGGAGGAAACUUAGGGAUAGCUUGAGAAGUUGAUGGCGAGGUUGCAAGGACAAGGACUUGAUGUAGCUUAGCUCACACGAAUGACUUGACUUGGACAAAUGGAGCUGACUUCCUUUCUCUUUUUUGUGCUUUUUAUUGACUUUAUGCAUAUUGAUGUAAUAAGAGGCACAUAUGUAAUGUAAUAUGUAUGUAAUGAUAUGAAAUGUUUACUAAGUACACUAAUAUGAAUGCAAAACAAAAAUUCCAAUAAAAGUUUCAAUUAUUUAAUUGCAAAUAACGUUGUUUAUUAUUAUUAAAACAAAUCAAAGAUGAGAUGAAAUUAGGAAUAAAAAGGGAAAAGAUAAAAAGUCAACCUUCUUGACUUUUGUCUCAUUCCCUACUAGGUGCUAAUGGAUGCAUAAAAAUAAAAUGCAAUGCAAAUGAACUUAGUAACAAAACUCAAGCAAAAGGUUCAAGUCUUGACAUAUAACUUCCAAUCUAAUGAAAUAUUGAUGGAUGACAAUGAUGCAGAUGAAUAAUGUCUAGAGAAAAUAAAUGUGAACUGACUAACUCUUGGGCUAAUUACAUUUAAAUAUUUGAUUACUAAAACAAACAAAAACUCACAAAGAUUCAGAUGACUAAUAGUACUCUUGACUAUGAAUUAUCUAAGUCUUUGAGACCUGAUGUAAAAAUAUGAAAGACAACAUGAGACUAGGGAAUACUCUUGAUUCCUUAGUCUAUGGAUGAAUGAAUGUCAUGCUAAUGAGAUCAAAUGAAAUGUCAAAACCCUGAUUUUUCACUGAAACCCUGAUGAAUGUCUAUGCUUGAUGGGAUGCAUGAUCAAAUGGAAUGAUCAUGAUAUGUUGAUGCUAAUGAAAAACAUAGGGUAAAAUUUAGAGUAUGACACAGUGGACACAAUCUCACCCCAUAAUUCAUUAGGUAGAUGCUUGUCCUUCAACGUACUUUUCACCAUGUUCAUGAUGAUCCUAUUUUUUCUCCCUGUAGGCCUAUUUUGUUGAGGUGUGUAUGAUGACACCACCUUAUGAACAAUUACUUCUCUUUGACAUAAUGCAUCAAAAUGAUAGGGCUACUAUUCUCAUCCACCAUCCAUUCUUAAUAUCUUGAUCUUGUGACCAUUUUGCCUUUCCACCAUAAAUUUGAAUUUAGUGAGCACAUCAAUCACAUUACUUUUCUUUUUAAUCAAGUAUGCUCAAAUUUUAUGCUAAAAUAAUCUAUAAAUGUAACAGAGUGCUUAUUACCUCCAAUUGAAUCCACUUGGUAAUACAAAAACGCCAGAGUAUAUAACUUCAAGAGAUGCUCUAGAGUUGUUUCUGCAUCCUUACUGAAACUAUUCUUAUGUUGCUUGGCCUGCAAACAUUCUUCACACAUUUCACUAGAAAUUUGAAUUUCAGGUAAACCUGAAAUCAUGUUCUCCUUCUUCAAAUGAUUGAUGUCUCUAAAGUUGAGAUGACCAUGUUUAUAGUGCCAUAAUCAAUUAUCCCCACUAGCUGCCGUUGCUAGACACUUUUACUCCGACACAUCAAAUUCAAUCUUAAAGGUCAUAUUUUGAGACACAGGUUCUUUCAAGAUUAAUCUUCCACUUGAGCUAUGCGUAGGAGAUUACAAAUUAUGAUCCUUUGCUAAACAGAAAACAGGAUUGACUAUCCAAUCCGUCCAAGCGCAGGAACCAUACCCCCAAUGGUUCGACUCAAACCAAGUGCCAAGACAGGAGCAUAACAUUCCUAACAACAACAUCCACAUUUUUAACCCCCUUGGAAGAGAAUCUCAUUCCUCUACAGCCACAAUGCCCAACAAGAGGCCAGCCAAAACAGUCCUUCAAUUCUGCCUCGAAUCUAAGCUCUUAGGGAAUACACUACUAUGCGCUGCUAAAGAAGAUUCCAUAACAGGAACUUCCAUUUCAAGCCAGUCAACAAUUCCAUCCCAGCACUGAACAGCAAAUGAGCAACUCACAAACAGAUGUUCUAUUGUCUCUUCAUCUGCAAAACAAAAGGGACAAACUAGGCUAUGGCUUCCCGAAAUGACAAAGCGUCUUUUCAGUUCCUGCUUUGUAGGUAAUCUGUUCUGGAACAUUCUACACCCAAAUACUCUGAUUCUGCUAGGAACUUCGAUCUUCCAUAACAUAUCCAUCUCUGCUUGCACCUCCGCUGCCAAAUGAAUACCUGCAUUAAGCGCUUUCGAUACUUUCGAAUAGCACACACUGACUGAGAAUCCUGCUUCAUCCUGCCACCACACAAAUUUGUCUUUAAUCUGCUUCUGACAGUCAGCAGACCUCCUUCGAACCCUGGAAGAAAUUUCUCACUGCCACACGUUAUCGAUCCAAACUCCUAAAUCCGCAAUCUUUCCUUCUGCUUCUGAGAACUCAGCAUAUGCAUCAGGAAAUUCCAAUAUCACCUAAAACCACUCAUUUCCAAUUACUAUCCUCCAUCAUAUUCACAUGAAUGCAUAUUUCAAUCAUUGUAUAACAAAAAUUUAUCAUUGGAAAUUCUCACACUUCCAAACACUUGUACAUUUCUAGUUAACUUGGUUCAGCCAUAUAGGCUUUAGCAACUUAUGUUCAGUCAUUGAAAUAUGUAUAUUCAUGUCACAAAUUCACAGUCAUAAGAAUCCAUUAUAAAGCAAUUCAAGGCUAUAAACUACACACAAAAAUUACAAGAUAAGCUAUAAGAUAACGAUAUUCUUAUAUCUAUUACCAAUUACAAACAUAUCAAUAAUGUAUCAACUUUUUUGGCAGUAGUCACUAUAUAUGUGACAUAUUCAUCCUCAUACUUAGCUCACUAUACUAUAUCAUAAUGAAAGAAAGUAAAUUAUACAUUAAUAUCAUCAUAGUUUUAAAUUGUAGUCUGCAAUAUGUUUAUAAUCAAGGAGAAGAUUUUGUUGAGGAAGUAGGGGGUGAGCCAGGGCUAUGAGGAGGUGGGAAUAGUGGAGGAAAAGGAAAUGGUAAAAUUGAUUUUGGUGGUGGCGGCGGCGGUGGUGAUGGAGUGAUACCUGGUACUACUAUUGGUGGAAAGAGAGAGAAAGGUGGUGGACUUGAUGGUGGAGGCUGAAAUGGAUUUGGAAGGAGUGGUGGAGGACUUGAAGGAGGAGGUUGAAAUGGAUUAGGUAGAAAUGGUGGUGGACUUGGUGGUUGAAAUGGAUUUGGAAUCAAAGGUGGACUAGGUGGUUGAAAAGGAUUAGGAAUCAAUGGUGGUGGUGUAAAAGGGUUAGGAAUCAAAGGUGGUUGAAAUGGAUUAGGAACCAAAGGUGGAUUCAAAGGGUUUGGAGGAAAAAAGAAAAAAUCUUCAACUUCAUUUUUCUUAGGGUUUUGAGUACUAUGCUUAUUUUGGUCACAAAAUUUUGGCUUUUUUAUUGGCUUGAAUGAGAAAAAUCCAGCUGAAAAAAUGUGUUCAUCUUGCAACUUUUUCUUUAGGGUUAGUGAAAAUGAAGUGGAAGUUGAAGCAAUAGCACAAUUUGGUUCAUUGCUACUUAACAACUUGAAGUUACACCCUUUGAUUCUCUUCACAUUUUUUCUCACUAAGAAAGGUAGCUUUACUUUGAAUUCUCCUUGUUCAUUAGUCUUCACUUCUUUGUAGAAUCUUUGUUUUGUUUUUCCUAGUUUGCAUUCAACAGCUAUUGAUGCACCUAUACAUUUUGGACAAGGUUUUAGAAAUUUUUAUAACAUGAUAUAAAAUAUAGAUCAGAUACAUUAACUAUUACUUAUAAUAGUGAUUGAUUGGAGGGUGAAUUACCUGAAAUGAAGCGGCUUUCUUGAGAGAAAGUUUGUUGAAAACAUGUGUCACAAAAGACAGUGCCAACUACAGAAGGCGAAGGAUGAAGCUUCUUGUUGACAUGUUUUGCUUCUGAAAGAUUUGUACCAAAUGUGAGAGUGAGAAACAAAAUUGUAAGAAACCAAGACAUUUUGAUAAGGUUUGAGUUUGGAUGCAAAUGAAAAAUUGUAAUGUGUUUCUAAAUAAAUAAUGCUUAGCAUUGAAAAUAGAAUAAGAAUAGAAAAAACAAGCAUACCUACUAGAUAAGUUUAUGAACUAGAGUUUGUUUUACUAGGAAAAAUCCAAAAAGUUUCACUAGGUAUAUUUUGGAAGUUUGUUCUUAGUUGAUGUGAAUGAAUGGACUAUAAUUGAAUCACUGUUGAGUCACGAGACACACUGAAGAACCACAUACUCUAUGAGUACAAGACACUUAUCAACUAUGUUAGAAUGACAUGUGAAAUAUAUUGUAUAGUUAUGCAUGUGAAUAAAUAUUAGUACUAUUAAUGCAUAAAACUAUCAUAGUUUUUGGAAGUUUGUGUUUGGUUUGGGAGUAUGGGUUGAUAUUGUUGAAAAAUUAGUGGGAAGAAGAUAAUAAUGUUGUUGGAAGUGAUUUAUGAUUUCAUAAGUCAUACUAAAUACAAAAUAUUUUGAGAUUGUUCACUAUGGACAAAUAUGUGAUCAAGUUGUUUGGUGAGAUUAGGAGUGUCUUGGAUAAACUGAUAAAUUAACGCCCUUACAAUAACUUGAAAAUUUUCUCCUUGCAUUUUUUGUUAAAAAUUAUAAUGACACUUUCAUAAUCAAGGAUUUUUAAAUAAAAAUAAUAAGCAUUUGGAAUGAGAAAAAAAAAACAUAAAUAGAAAAAAAAAACACAUUGUUUUGAAUUAUAUAACUUUGAUUGAUAAUUUUUUUGAGAUAAUUCUUACAUAUGUGUACUCAAUAAUAGUCAUUAGUUUAAUUUUAUUGAUUAUCUAUAACGAUAAUCCUUCGUUAUAGGAAUUUCAGUUAUUUCGUUAGUGUAUAUAAAGAGUGUUAAUUCUCUUUGAAUCGAUACGAAACAAUUUUUUUUCUUUAUUAUGUGUCAAGCUAUAUGCACAUUAAUAUGGUAUCACAGAUAGAAAUAUUUUUUGUUACUCUCUCUUUCCCCGUCACUUGGCUUUUUUUCUCUCUUCUUUGCCUCCAUAUGAUCUCUGUGCCUUAUCCUUCCUUCUUUAGAAUAUCUUUUCUCCAAUUGGCUUCUCAAGAUUCUCCUCGAAAUCCAUCCUCAUUACCUCUCUUUUGUUCAACAUUUCUUCCACGUGUCGGUCUCUUUUUGGUCAUUUGGGAUUUUGUUCUUAUUCUCACAUGUUUACUCUAGAUAACAUUUUCACUUACCCUCAAUUUUUUGCUUUUCUUUCUCUCUCUUCAUCUGAAAUUCCCAUCGUUCUCUCGGCUUCUUCAUACCAAGAACUUCCUUCCCUAGAAAUUCACAUAACCACCCUUUUCCCCACUAAAAUCAACCUUUUUUUCAUAAAUAAUCAAUUAUCUCUGUUUUCUUUCUGAUUCUUAGCAUCGUAUCAACCAAUUUCACCGUUUCCCCUCAUUUUCUUCUCCCCAUCAAAACCAUAACCAUCUUUUUCUUUUCUAUUUUCACCCCCUCUUUCUUUUCAUCAAACAUGACAGAUUAGACUUACCUUCAUUUUGCAACGAAUUUGUCAAACCCUUAUUACAUCCAUCCCAAUGAAAACCCAACCCUCAUCCUUGUUUCUCCGCUGCUCAAUAGCAAAAACUACCUAUCUUGAGCUCGUUCCAUGAAGGUCAUUCCCUUUGGCUAUAAAUAGAAGGCUUCUGAGCUCAUUUGAAGAACACUUUAUGUGCCAGCUUUGCCCCCCAUUGAAACCCUCUCAUUCUAAAGGAAAACCUGAGAAAUUUCAAUUUGAAAUUUGAGUUUGAAUCUCAACUGUUGGAGAUUCAAGAACUCCAGGAUCCAAAGUCUUGCAACCUCUCUAAUCACUUCCUGCUAGCUUCUCAAGUAUGAUCAAAUCGUGUUUGGAGCAAGCAACAUCAAGAACUGCAUAGCAUUGAAGGUAAUUUUCAGAAAACUUCAUCUCUUCGAUUCUCACUUAAUUCUACUCAAUUCUUUUGGAUCUUUGGUUGUCUGAAGUCCUACCAAUGUAGGCAAGAAAAUUGAGUUGCUUAGAGGUCAAAUCGAAGCAACUCAGUUGACACACCUCAAAAUUCAACUCCUCAUAUCUUUUUAUAUAUUUGGAGUUAGUUGAAAUUGAGGUCAGAUUCGUGCUUUACGCCAUUUUUUGUCAAAUCGAAGCAACUCAGUUGACACACCUCAAAAUUCAACUCCUCAUAUCUUUUUAUAUAUUUGGAGUUAGUUGAAAUUGAGGUCAGAUUCGUGCUUUACGCCAUUUUUUCUUUCAGAUCAUGUCUUCCUUUUGUAUUUUGGUGAUGGUUAAAGGUGGAUCAGUCCGGUGAGGUCCACCGGAGAAGGAGACCGGAGUUCGGGCUCCGGCAAUGUGUUGGCAUCUCUCCCAGCCAUAGGAUCCAGUUGAUAUGUUUUAAUCCCAGCCAUAGGAUCCUUUUCAAAUAUUUUAAUCUCACCCGUUGGUUUUGAUUACCAUCCCUGCAGCGCAUUGACUAGUGUCCAUUAUGGAACGCGCGCUGAGGACCACUUGAUCUGCCACCUCAAUUAAUGAGGGAGAUCAAGUGGUCCACGUUUUUUUGCUAUUUUCUGAUUUUCAUUUUAAUCCUUUUAUUUUCAUUAAUUCAUAUUAAUUUUAAUAUUGAUCCAAAAAAUAUGAGAGUUUCACCAAAUAAUUUUAAAUAAUUUCCUCUUUAAUAUUUUGAAUUAAAAUUAUUUUUUGGAUCAUUAUUAAUAUUUUUUAUGAUUUAAUUGAUUUUGUAAUUAUUUUUAAUUGUUUAAAAUUACUUUUAAGUCUUUAAAAAUUCAGAAAUUUUUUCUCCGAGGUCCUUUGAUCUUGUUUGACCUAUGAUAAAUCUCAUGGCUAUUUCUUUGGUGUUUUGAUGAGGUUUUAGGAAUUUGACAAACUAUAUUUAAUUUAAAUGCCUUAUUUUAGUAUUUUUAAUUUGAAUAAAUGCCAAAUAAUUGUGUUGACCAAUUGUGAUGACUUGUUUGAGUUUGAAUCUUGUUGUUGGGCCUUGGUCAAGGUUGAUUUGACUUUGUCAAGUUAAUAUCAUCGGAUUUAGGGGAUUGAUGGAAUGUACAUUCCAUCUCCCAAAAUGAAUGGAUGAUAUUAAUUUGGUAAAAGUCCUCCUUUGACCAAUUUGAGUUUUGAUCCAUUCCCCUCCCUCUUCAUCUCAUUCCCUAUUCCAUCUCCCAAAAUGAAUGGAUGAUAUUAAUUUGGUAAAAGUCCUCCUUUGACCAAUUUGAGUUUUGAUCCAUUCCCCUCCCUCUUCAUCUCAUUCCCCUUCUUUAUGCAUUCAUCUCAUUUGACCUAUGAUAUCUCAAAGUUUUAAGGCUAGUUGAUUGAAAAAUCAACAUAAGUAUGGAUGAGAUGAGGUCACCUCUUUUGCAUAUUCUUUUUUAUGUGUGGUAUGUUUCAUAAGCAUAGUCCAUUAUACUAUGUACCUAACAUGCAUUAACACCAAAAUUCUAUUGCCCCGCCUCAAAUAGUUGUGACUUCUACAUAAGUCCAAUUACGAUUACUUAACAUAGCGUUAAAUUUGUGACACAAAAGGCAUAGCAUUCUAGUUAGUGAGAUUGCAAGUCUCCCCUCUUUCAUGGUAUUGUGUGGAAACUUGGCAUUUUUUCCUUCCUUUGGAAGAUGUCUUGACUCAAGGAUCCAUGCUUAUGAUAAGUGGGUUGAGUGUUCUCCAAAGAAUGACUUAAAAUGAAAAGCAAAAGCAAAACAAUACUAACUUCUAACUCAUUAAAAACUAACUUUUAAUUUCAAGCCAUUUAGUUGAAUGUCAUUUAAUUUUAGUCUUUAUUCAUUUGUCAUUAUUCAUACCAUUCUAAUUGUUUAUGUUAAUGCAAUUUUCAGAAACAGGUAAACCUGGUAUAACACACUAUAUAGAACAAACACAUAACUUUGCUUGUUUGUGUGGUCUUUGACCAUUAAUGUACAUAAUAACAACAAAAACCCUAAAAAAACUUUUGUGUGGAUCGUUGGCUUGAUCUUGGACAAUUGGACUUAGAAUCUAGGCAACAUUCCUAUGCUAGAGUACUUGGCCAAUGCCAAUUUUUUAUGUAAACAAGUUCUUGCAAUUUGGAACUUCAUCUGAUACAUCAUUCAAGAUCCCUUUGAGUUCAUCUGCAACAUGAUCAUUGUGAAGCUGUUAUUUUGAACAUGUGACUUGUGAAAUUCAUCUGUUGCAUGGGCUAAUUUGAAGAAGAUCAUGGAGUGGAUAAGCUUGGAUGUGGCUAUCUUUAUUUGAUGCCCUUUCUCUUCAAGAUUGAUAUAAUUGUGCAUUUGUGUGUUACUUAAUUCAAAAUGUCCAAGGGAAUCUGGGUUUCUAUUUACAUUCUUGUCUAUUGGAUUGCUACCCAUUGGUUAGAUCUUUUCAACUCUUAACUUUUAAUGUUGUGCAUAGGAUUAGUCUCUUCAUCUUCUCCCCAUUUCUUAAAUUUCAAAAUCUCUCCCUCCCUUUUUAAAAAUCUUCUUUAUUUGAACUUGUUUUGUUCUAAACUUUGACCACUUUGUAAAAAAUAUAAACUUUGGCCUUAUGCCAUUUCAUUUUCAAACUUCUUUUCUUAAAUCAAAUUUGUAAAUAAACUUAACUAUACUUGACUUAAACUUUCAGAAAAUCCAAAAAGAACUAACCCAUUAAAACCAUUUUUAGGCCUUUGUGCCUUUCAAACUUAAUUUUUGUUAAAAGCAAUGCAUUCACUUUGAAAUUUGUAUCACGAACUACGAGGUUUUGAUCCCUCAUUUUUAUGUUGGUACGUAGGACAGCAAGUCCGAAGGUCUUGUCAAUACAAAAAUAUAAUUAAUGAAUUAUUUUCUCAUCCCCCCCCCCCGCCCCCCCUCAUUCUAUUUGUUUGUAAACAUCAUUUUUGUACCAAAUACAUAUGCACACAAAAAGGGCUCCCUGGGAGUACCUAGGACACUUUGGGUGGUAACACCUUCCCUCUGUGUAACCAACCCCCUUACCUAUAAUCUCUGGCAUUUUAUUAGUUUUAAUUUGAACUUCUUACUUCUGGGUUUUGUUCGUACUUUUCCCUUUUCCCUUGGAAACAAUAAAAGCGCGGUGGCGAAUCUUGUUAUUUGAUGUCUAGCUUAUCCAUAGCUUGAUGAUCAUGAAUUUACCGUUACACCUAUCAUCCAUAGGCAGACAGUUAGAGGGACAAUUAGAGGGAAAAGACUCUAUAAUCCUUGGAAGAUUUGUUAAGAGUAUGUGUUUUAGAAUAAGGAGGUAGUUGGGAUAGUUAUUUAUCAUUGAUUGAGUUUACCUAUAAUAAAAGUUUCCAUUAUAGGAUUGGAAUGUCGCAUUUUGAAGCAUUAUAUGGUAGGAGGUGGUGGACACCCUUGUGAUGGUAUGAAUUCGGUGAGAGCAUUGUGUUAGGACCCAAAGUAGUUCAACACACUAUCGAGAAGGUUAAGAUGAUUUAGGAAAAGAUGAGGAUGUGGCAAAGCCAAUAGAAAAUUUAUCAUAUUAAGCAAAGAAAAUCCUUUGAAUUUCAAGAAGGAGAUCAUGUAUUCUUGAGAGUCACUUCAAUGACUGGGGUUAGUCGGGAAUUCAAGUCAUGAAAGCUUAAUCCUUGUUUUAUGGGUCCUUAUCAGAUUCUUAAAAGAGUCAGCGAAGUUGCCUACCAAGUUGCAUUCCUCUGUCUCUUUCGAAUUUCCAUAAUGUCUUUCAUAUCCCGUCGCAUCUGAUCCAAUCUGAUGAUAUGCAAAUAAGAGAGAGCUUAACUUAUGAAAUGUCGCCCUUGCGAAUUGAAGGUUGAAAGGUAAAACACUUGAGAGGAAAAGAGAUUCCUUUGGUUAAGCCGUAUGGGGAGGAACAAAUGAUGGUAGUGUGAUGUGGGAACUAGAGAGCCAAAUGAAUGAGUCUUAUAUAAACUUGUCUGCUUCAGGUAAAUUUUCCAGUAUGAAAAUUAAAUAUGUGGGGGAGAGUUGUAACACCCUAAAAUUUUAUUCGAAUUUUAUUUUAUUAACAAAUCGAUUUUGUGUGUGUUAUGAUUUUUUUAUUAGCAUUAUUAUUUUGUUAUUAUCAAAGAAAAGAAUUAUGGGAAUUAUCUAGAAAGACUAAAAAUAAAUAGAGUCAGUGGAAGAGGGGUUGGAAAAGUAAAAAUUAGUGGGAGAAGUCAAAGAAAUAAAAUCAUAAUUUUUAAGGAGUUUAAUUUCAGAAUUUUAAUUAUAAAUUAAAAAGGGAGAAUUAGGGAGAAAAACAUAGUACGCGUUCUUUUGGAAGAAAAAGGAGAAAAAUCCCUAGCACAAAAAAGUUCUCUUCUUCUUCUCUAGCACUCCAAAAGAGAGUCUAAUUUCUGAAUAGGAAAAAAAUAAAUAUUAUGCAAGUGAGUAAUUAUAUUAUUGUUAGGAGCUUCGCAAUGAAUUAUGGACUAACAAAGUAAUGGGGAGAUUGUUCUAUGAAUUGGUAUUUUGGCAUUUAUGGUAGUGGGGUUUCCAUUGAACCCCAAAUUGUAUGAGUUUCUAUGUGAAUUUUCCCUAUGAGAUGAUUAUCCAUAAACUUUAUGUUAUGAAUCUCUUUCAUCAUCAUCUAAUCUUCUAGGAUCAUUGCAUGACAGAAUUUUGGGUUGAGUCUUGCAUGAUUGAUUCUAUGAAUUUUCAUUAUUGCCAUGAAUGUGUGUGAAUUUCUGCUUGCUUAUGAUGUUUGAAGUGUUGCUAAUCUUUAACAUAUGGUAUUACAUGAUUAGUAUGUGUUUACCAUGUGUUUGAAGUGAGAAAAACAGGAGAAAUAAGUGAAAAUCAGAAUUCUGGGUGAUUUAAUUCGAAUUAGGGGGCUAUCGUUCAAGUAAUAUGCUAAGAUCAGCGCAGGAUUUCAAUUAUAAUUGGUUUGAUUUGAGUCCAGAGACCUAUGAUUCGAAUCAUAGGGUAAGACUAUGCGAAAAAUUUAGUUAUGUUUGUCAUGAUUCGAAUCAUGAGUUAUGUGACUCGAAUCAUGAAGGCAAAUUAUAUAUAGAAUCAUGUUUUAGUUAUAUCUUGAGUUUAGAAAUUCAGAUUGAGGUGCGGUUAGAUGCGUUAGAAAGCUAAUGCAAAGAACUAUAUUUAUGGAAAAGGAUUCAUGAUGUUUAUAUGUAUGAAUCAUCCUGUGAAUAAUGAAUAUUUAUGCAAAGUCAUGUAUGUUUUAGGACACAAGUCCAAUAUUUUUAUGAAAUGUUUUUAUGAACUAAGUUGUGAGUGAUGGAUUAAUUAUGAGAAUAUACUUAGAACAUGAGAUCAACAUUUGUAAAAUUAAUUGUGAAGCCCUAAUAUAAAGAUUAUGUUGAAGGUUCGACAAGAAUCAAUGUUGAUUAUGUUGAAGGUUCGAUAAGAACCAAUGUUUGAUUAUAUUGAAGGACCGAUAAAAACCAAUGUUGGAUUAUGUUAGAGGUUCAACAAGAACCAGUGUUACAUUAUGUGAAGGUUCGAUAAAAAUCAGUGUGAUAAAUAUGGUUUGGAGGUUUGGAUGAAAUUCAGGUUUAAUUGUUCAUCAUGCAUAAUAUAUAUUAGAGUAGGUGUCGUCUAGCAAGAGUGUGUAGUACGACGUAGCUCGCAUGUGAUCCUAGGCAUUACAUGUUUAUGGACGUCUAGGAGAGUGUUAUAGUAUGGGCAUAACUCGUAUGUAAUCCUAGAAGUAGAGUUUAACAAAGAGUGUUGUAGUGGAUACAUAACUCACAUGGAUUUUGUAGCAGUAAAUUCAAGACCAUCAAGCUAUGGAUAAGCUUAACGUCAAUAAAACCAGAGUCGCCACCGCACUUUAAUUGUUUCCAAAGGAAAAGGGAAAAGCACGAACAAAACCCAAAGAUAAGAAGUUUUCAAAUCAAAACUAAUAAAACGUCAGAGAUCACGGGUAAGGGGGUUGGUUACACAGAGGGAAGGUGUUAGCACCCAAAGUAUCCUAGGUACUUCUAGGGAGCCUUUUUUUAUGUGUGCAUAUGUGUUUGGUAUAAAAGAUGUUUGGAAAACUAGAAUGUGAGGAUGAGUAAAGAAUUCAUUGAUUAUAUUUUUUGUGUUUGACAAGACCUUCGGUCUUGUGCCUACGUACUAACAUAAAAAUGAGGGAUAAAAACCUUGUAGUUCGUGGUAAAAAUUUAAAAGAAGUUGGUGAAUUACUUUUAAUAAAAGUUUAAUAAGAAAAGGCACAAAGGGCCAAAAAUUUGAAUGAAGUUGUUAGCUAUUUUUGUCUUUCUGAAAUGUUAAGUCAAUAUGAUUAAGUUUAUUUACAAAUUUGAUUUAAGAAAAGAAUUUGAUAAUUCAUUAGCAUAAGGUCAAAGUUUCUAAUCAUUAAAACAUGUCUAAGUUUUAAAUCACAAGAAAAGUAAGUAUUUGAAAAGGGGAAGAGAUUUUGAAAUUUAAGAAGUGGGAGGAGAUGAAGAGGCUAUCAUAAGCACAAAUUUAAAAGUUAAGAGUUGAAAAGAUCUAACCAAUGGGAUGCAAUCCAACAGACAAGAAUGUCAUAUAGAACCCCAUUUUCCCUUGGACUUUGAAUCAAGCAAUAAUCAAUAAGCAAUUAACACUAUCCUAACAUCAUGGAGAUCAAGGCAUCAAAUAAAGAUAGCCACAUCCAAGCAAGAAAUUCUCAUAGCUAGCAGUCUUCUUUGUCUUCCCAUGUAUCAGAUGAAAUAUUCCUUGAUCAACUCAGAGCAAAGCAUCAGACACAAGAUUAAAAUAACAAUUAAGCACAAAGGAAAAGUGGCAGAUAAAUUCAAACAAAUCCCAAGGCUUGCAUCAGAUGAAGGCUUAGCUCACAAUACUUCAGUCUCAUAAUGUUGGCAUUGGUCAAGUCCUUUUGCAUAGGGAAUGUUGCCUAAAUCCAAGUCCAAGAGUGCAUAUCAAGAUCAAUAGUCCACAAGAUGUUUUUUAGGGUUUUUGUUGUUAUUAGGUGUUUUAAGGUCCUAAGACCACAAACAAAACAAAAAUACACAAACAAAAUAUACAAUCACAAGAUAUGGCUCAAAUGAGCAAAGUGAAAAUGACAUAAACAUAAACAAGUUAAAUGAAAUGUAAACGGAAAUAAAUGAUAAAUGACUGAAAUUUAAAUUGCAUAAAGUAAAUGACUUAAAAGUAAAGCAAAUAUUAACAAGAAUUAGUCAAAUGUUAGUCCAAAGCCAGUCAAGUGUUAGUGGUGAUUUUUAAUUCUUUAAGUCAUUCUUUGGAGAACACUCAACCAUUCAUUCAUAAGUAUGAAUCCUUAAACCAAUACAUCUUCCCUGAGAAGGGAUCCAACUUGGAUAAUUCAACAAGUAUGCCACUAGCUCCCAUGAAAGGAAAAUGAUGUCACAUUACCAUGCAUAAAGGAAAUGAAUGUUAACCAUAAAUCUUACCAAAUGGAACCUUGUGAAGAACAUGUGCGCAAGUCCCUCAAUUCUUGGCUAAAUGAGAUGAUCCUGGACUUUAUGGAAAUCUGAGAUUAAGGGGAACACCUUUCAUGUUGAGCACUUUUCCAUUUGAAGCUUGGAUCAUGAUGAAUUUUAAGGUGGAAGUUUGGAAAAUCAAACAUAAAUGAAAUUUUUCUAAGUACCAAGUCAAAUGUUCACUUCUUCCACCUUGAAUAACUUUUAUUAUGGGCUUCAAAGUUGUAUCUCUUUCAAACUUAUUCAAUUUGGUCACAAAUUUGAUCUCAUUUGGAAUUGGCAUGAAGGAGUUAUACAUUUUAGAAGUUGAGGAAAAUCUCUUGUUUAAUGGUAAUGGCCCAAAGUGACCUAUAAUGUUUCCUCUUGGAACAUGCAUUUUCAAGUUGAAUUUGAACUUUUUAAAAGAAUAAAAGUUGGAGAGGACAUAUUGAAAUUUAUCAUGAAACUUGGAUGGCCUUCAUCUAAUAAAAAUUGAGCAAGUAUUGGUCCUUGGAAGUUGACCUCCUAACUAGGGUUUAGACAAAAUGACCUAUAAUCUUUCAUCAUAUAAAAUGACUUUCCAAGCAAAACUAGAUAUUGAAUUAAACAUGAAAGUUGUUUGGGAUGUCAUAAAUUGUAAAAGAUAGGGUCUAGUGAACCCCAGUUUUGACCAGUUGACUUUCUCUAGUCAACCACCAUGAACCAACUUGCAAACUUGAAGUUCUCUUGAUCUCUUGGAAUCAUGGAGGAUAAUAUAUGUAUAAUAUGAUUUAAUGUGAAGUAUACUUUGAAAUAUUUGAUCAAAUGUUGAAGAAACUUGCUGAGGAAGUCACACAAGAUACCCAGAUGAAUUAAAGCUUCCAAGGCAAACAAGCUUCAAACUCGUGAUGAAUUCUUGAUUAAAAUGAUAAAUGGAGAACAUGGGGACCCAUAUAUGAUGUCUAGAGUCAAUGUGAACCAUCACUUGAUUUAUCUCCUUGCAUUGAGAGUCUCAAAUCCUAGAUAUGAGCUUGAUGAGGCCUUGGUGGAUGCACACACUACCUACAAAAGAAGUAAAACUAUACAUAGACAUAUUUUUGGUAUCUUGGUUAGUAAACAAAGAAAAAUAAAGUAUGAUACAACCAAAUGUGCUUGGUGACCUCUCCCAAUGCAAACCCAAUGAAUGAGGGGUAAGGAGGAUGCCAGGGUGUGAUCCCAAAUCCAAUGCAUAUGAUUAGGGAUCUUAGGGUCAAAAUUAGGGUCUUACAGCUGCCCUUAUUUAAGGACAUUCUAGCCGAGAAUGUGAAGGUUAAAAUCUUUGUAUCGACUUAGUAGAAUGGACUUAAAUAACAAUAUAUAGAAACAAAUUUUGGUCCCUAAGAGACCUCAUGAUGCAUAUGAUAUGAAUGUUAAAAUAACCCUUGUGGGUAAUAUAUUGCCACAAAGAAAAAGAAUCCGAAGAGACUGAAAGUCCACAGGAGUAUACUGCAUUCCGUAAGGAACACUCACUGGGGAGACAUAGACUCUGGGGGGAUAAAAGCUAUGCGUAGGCCAGGCUAUGACUUGAGAACUGCUGGAGAUACAAAGGGAUUUCCAUGAAAAUAAAUCAAUGGAAGGACUCGGCUUGGGGAACCAGGAAAAUCUGCAGGGGAAACGGGUAGAUCAGGACAAAGUUGAAAUACUCGAAUCAAACAGGAAAAGGCGAUUCCACUAAGGAAAUACGCAUUCAAACUCAACUAGGGAAGAAUGAACUUCAACAUAGGAGUACCAGAGAUAUAUUAUCUAUUACCGAUUACUGGGUAGGAAGAUAAUAUACUCUAACUGAGGGACAUCCGUUACCGAUUAAGGUAAACAUAUCAAGGAUGACUCGCUGAGGAAAAAAAAGUGUAUUCAUUACCGGUUAUUGGGUAAGAAUAACCUACUUGGAAAAAGAUCAAAUAGGAUUUACAAUUGCCAGUUACCAGGCAGAAGACCAAAGAGAGAGUAUAUGUCACUAGUUAAAGUGAACAUAUCGAGGAUAAACUCAAAGGAAGAAUAUUCGUCAUCGAUUAGGAUGAACAUAUCAAGGAUAGACCACCAUGGGAAAGAUGAAGAAUAUCUGUUACCGGUUAGGGUAAACAUAUCAAGGAUGAAUUGUCGGGGAGAAAUAGGAAUUAUAUCUAUCGGUUACUAGAUAGAAUACCAAAGAGAGAAUAUUCGUCACCGGUUAGGAUGAACAUAUCAAGGAUAAACUCAGCAGGGGGAAGUAGGAAUUACAACUACCGGUUACUGGGUAGAAUACUGAAGAGGGGAGAAAAUCCUUCACUGGUUAAAGUGAACAUAUCAAAGAUAGACUCUCUAGGGAAUGAAAUAGGGAUUACAACUACCUUUUUACUGGGUAGAAAACCAAAGAAGGAAGAAUAUCCGUCAUCAGUUAGGAUGAACAUAUCAAGGAUAAACCACCUGGGGAAACAUGGGAACGAAUCCGCCGGGGAAAACAAAGGAAGUAGAUUACAUUUUACCGGGUAUUGGGCAAAAUGUGCUGAACAAUCGAGAAGGAUAUUACCGGUUAUUGGGUAAUAAACUCUUAGGGGACCAAAAUAUCUAUCUAGGUAAUAACUAGAAAGAAACGGCCAAUCAAAGACUCAACCCAAUGAGGAUAUAACUCAAGGAGACUAGUUCCAUCCAGAUAAUUACCUGGGGAGGAAACUGAAAUACUAAUCAUCCAUGAGGAAAUAACUCAGUGGGGAAUGAGAAAGGUUAAACUCUUUCUGCUUAAGGGGAUGACACUCUAAAAUUGAAGGAGGACAGACACAUCAAAUCUGCAUGGGGAGAUAAAAUCACCAAGGCAGGAGAUCAGAAGAAAAAUCAAUGCGAUAAAAUGCUCAAUAAAAUAUCUGAUGUUAUAUGAAUAUACAUGUAUGUGAUUAUGAUUAUGCUGACAAAAUAGCAUAAAUGAUACAAAUAACGAAGAUUUGAAUUAUCACUACAAUACUCGGCUAAUCUCAACAGGAUGAAAACACCAAAUGGAGAAGAUGCUAAGGAUGAAAAUAAAUCAUUUAACUUUGAAUAAAUCAACUCUGGUUGGGGAAAGGCAUGGAGAACAUGCUUCCAAUUUGCUACAGAAAACUCUGUGGGGAGAAGAGAAUAUUAUUGAGGGAAGAUCAACCAAUCAUACCGAGGGUCAAAAAUAUAAACACUGCGGGGAAUUUUAGGUCAACAUCAUAUCAAAUGGGAGACAACCUUGUAGGGGACUAAAAUACACUGCUCAGAAUCCAACACUGCCGGGAAUAAAGGAUCUUCAUAUCACCAGAUGAACUCCGCCAAGGAAUACAAGACAUAAAAAUCUGCAUGAGGAGUUAGGCAAGUUGUCGGGGACGCUAUGACCAAGACCGUCAUAUUCCUCAAUAAUCAUUGAAUUCUUCUCGAAAAUUGUGAAAUAAACCAAUUCCAAGGAAAAGAUAAACGGGUCUAAUUCACACAAAUGAGAAACUGUCGAAGUUAUGCCACACAAUUAUGCUAGUGGGAAAUCAAAUAAGGGUUCCAGAUCUCCAGAGUCUAAUCAAAGAUCACAAAUAGGGGGAUGCAAACAUGAACACCUCAACUGGGGAAUAUGGAUUUGCAAAUGGAAAUGAUCGUCAACUCAACUACUGGGGAUGAUGAAAUAUUCAGGGAGAAACGCAUCAACCAAGCCGGGGAGAAAUGACGAAUUGUUGGCGAAAAAGGUAUUUAUUAAACCAACUACUUAAGGAACACCAAUAAUGCUCCACACUUCAAGACUUACCUGUUCUCAGAUUGCUGUUGACAUUCCUUACUGAAAUCGAUUAGUCUUAUAGUGAUUGUUUUCAUUAUUUAAGAAAAAAAUUAUUAUUAAUUUAUUUUAAAACUAUCAUCAUAAAAAUUCAAUUUUAUUUAGCAGAAGUAAAUAAGAAUAGAAACAAUUGGAUAAAAGCUCAAUUUUAUUUAAUAGAAUGGUAGUCUGUAAGUGAUGAGACUCCAUAGAUAUUUACAAAGUUAAAAAUGGUAAUUUACAUGGAAAAGGGCUACAUUGAAUACAAUGAUAACUACUUUCCCUACUAACUUCAAUAUCCAUUGUGCUUGUCCUUGGUUGAGAAUGAUAAAUCAGAAACAAAUGACUUGCUCAAAACUGCCUCCCAGGAUUAGGAUCAACCGAAUGCAGUUACUUGCCAUAAUCCCUAACUUUUACCUAGAUUGCCCCAAGGUGGGAUGUUCAAUCUACCGGGAUAAAUUUUCUAUUUUAUGUCUCUAAUUUUUUCCUGGAUCUCCCUUUCAGGUUUCCAAUCCACCGAGACGCUCAUUUUUUACCUAACUCGCCCUUUCGGGUUUUCAACUUAGCGAGCGAUACUUUUUUUCUUUUUUAGGCGAAGUAUUUCUUGACUACAUCGGAGUUCACAAGGAGAGUGAACUCUUCACCAUCCAUAGUUGUAAGAAUCAAAGCACCACCUGAAAAGGCUCUUUUAACAACAUAUGGACCUUCAUAAUUAGGAGUCCAUUUGCCCCUAGCAUCAGGUUUGAAAGAUAAAAUCUUUUUGAGCACGGGGUCACCUUCUCUAAACACACGAGUCUUGACCUUUUUAGCAAAUGCUUUCUUCAUUCUUUGCUGAUACAAUUGACCAUGACACAUGGCAGUCAAUCUCUUCUCUUCAAUCAAAUUCAACUGAUCAUAUCUGGUUUGGCACCAUUCAGCUUCAGUCAACUUGGCUUCCAUUAGCACACCCAGUUACGGGAUCUCAACCUCUACUAGGAGCACAACUUCCAUGCCAUAAACAAGAUAGAAAGGGUUUGCCCCUGUUGAAGUGCGGAUGGAUGUACGGUACCCAUGUAAAGCAAACAGGAGCAUCUCAUGUCAAUCUUUAUACAUCACAACCAUCUUCUGGAUGAUCUUCUUGAUGUUCUUAUUCGCAACUUCAACAACCCCAUUCAUAUUGGGUCUGUAGGCAGAAGAGUUAUGAUGUGCAAUCUUGAAGUCUUUGCAAAGAGAUUCCGCCAUAUUGUUGUUCAAGUUCGAUCCAUUAUCAGUAAUGAUCUUACUUGGCACACCAUAACGACAUAUAAUCUGAUUCUUGAUAAACCUUACAACAACUUGCUUGAUUACAUUUGCGUAUGAUGCCGCUUCAACCCACUUUGGGAAGUAGUCAAUAGCCACCAUAAUGAAACGAUGUUUGUUGGAAGAUUUGGGCUCAAUCAUACUAAUCAUAUCAAUUCCCCACAUGGAGAAUGGCCAUGGAGAGGAAAUGAAAUUGAACAGUGUCGAAGGAACAUGAAUCUUAUCUGCAUAGAUUUGACACUUGUGGCAUUUCUUCACAAACUUGCAACAGUCAGAUUCCAUUGUCAGCCAAUAGUAACCUGCUCUCAACAUUUUCUUUGACAUAGCAUGUCCAUUGGAAUGAGUACCAAAGGAAACUUCAUGGACUUCUAUAAUCAAUAAGUCUGCUUCGUGUCUAUCCACGUAUCUGAGCAAAACUAUAUCAAAGUUUCUUUUAUAAAGCACAUCACCAUUGAGGUAGAAGUUUCCAGCUAAUCUUCUUAAAGUCUUCUUAUCUUUCAAAGAUGCCUCAGACGUGUAAAUCUGACUUUGGAGGAAACAUUUGAUAUCAAAAUACCAUGGCUUUUCAUCUUUGGAUUCUUCAAUAGCAAAUACAUGAGAUCGCCUAUCAAGAAGCAUCAUAGUUAAAUUGGGAACUUCAUUCCAAAAUUUCACCAUAAUCAUUGAAGCCAACGUUGCAAGAGCAUCUGCCAUCCGGUUCUCAUCUCAAGGGAUAUGAUGAAACUCAACCUUUGGAAAGAAAGUUGAAAUCCUCCUCGCAUAGUCUCUAUAUGGUAUCAAAUCGGGUUGAUUCGUCUCCCAUUCACCUUUGAUCUGAUUCACAAUCAAAGCUGAAUCUCUAUAGACGUCAAGAUAUUUUAUUUUGAGAUCAAUGGCCUCUUCAAGCCCCAUAAUGCAAGCUUCAUACUCCGCCAUAUUGUUUGUACAUUUGAAAGUUAAUCUAGCUGUAAAUGGGAAAUAAUUGCCUUGAGGAGUAAUAAUCACUGCCCCAAUGCCAUUACCAUAUAAAUUAACAGCUCCAUCAAAUACCAUGUCCCAACGAGAACCAGGUUUUAGCCCUUCUUCAAGCAAAGGUUCAUCAUAAUCUUUCAUCUUUAAGUAUAAAAUCUCUUCGUCGGGAAAAUCAUAUUGUACUGACUGAUAAUCUUCAAUCGGUUGGUGAGCCAAAUGGUCAGCCAAGACACUACCUUUGAUUGCUAUUUGAGAUUGGUAUUCAAUAUCAUACUCAGAUAACAACAUCUGUCAACGGGCGAUCCUCCCAGUUAAAGCAGGCUUCUAAAAAAUAUACUUGAUUGGAUCCAUUUUGGAUAUCAACCAAGUGGUAUGAUUCAACAUAUAUUGGUGCAGACGCUUAGCAGUCCAAGCCAAUGUGCAACAUGUCUUUUCGAGCAUAGAAUACCGAGUCUCACAGUCGGUGAAUUUCUUACUUAGGUAGUAAAUUGCAUACUCUUUCUUUCCAGAUUCAUCUUGCUGACCAAGAACACAACUCAUACUCUCUUCAAGCACAAUCAAAUACAUGAUCAAGGGUCUUCCUUCAAUAGGCGGAGACGGAAUCAGAGGCUCGAGAAGAUAUUUUUUGAUACUAUCAAAAGAUUUCUGACAAUCUUCGGUCUAAUCACAAGACUGAUCUUUCCGAGGAAGCUUGAAUAUAGGCGCACAUGUGGCAAUCAUAUGUGAUAUAAAUCUUGAGAUAUAAUUUAAGCAGCCGAGAAAACCUAUGACUUGUUUCUCAGUUUUGGGCGAGGCAUUUCUUGUAUUGCUUUGACCUUGGCAGGAUCAACUUCAAUACCCUUCUCACUGACAAUAAAGCCCAUCAACUUACUAGAACGAACACCUAAAGUACACUUAUUGGGAUUCAAGCGGAGUUUAUAUUUCCUCAAAUGCUGGAAUAGCUUCAACAAAUGCUCAACAUGUUCUUCUUCAUCACUCAAUUUAGAAAUCAUAUCAUCAACAUAGACUUCAAUCUCUUUAUGCAUCAUAUCAUGAAAAAGAGUGGUCAUAGCUCUCUGGUAUGUUGCAUCAGCAUUCUUUAAACCGAAAGGCAUCACUCUAUAAAAUAAUUUUCCCCAGAGAGUAAUGAAUAUGGUCUUCUCCAUAUCUUCAGGUGCCAUCUUGAUUUGAUUAUGACCGAAAAAUUCGUCCAUAAACGAAAAGACUUUGAAUUUAGUUGUAUUGUCUACCAACAUAUAAAUGUGUGGCAGGGGAAAUCAUCUUUCAGACUUGCUUUAUUCAAAUCUCUAUAAUCAACACACAUGAAAACUUUUCCAUCUUUCUUAUGAAUAGGCACACAAUUGGCCACCCACUGCGGAUACUCGGAGGUAACAAGAAAACUGACAUCAAUUUGCUUCUGCACUUCCUCUUUGAUCUUUACUGCCAUAUCAGGAUGAGUUCUUCUCAACUUCUGCUUGACCGGCGGGCAUUCUGGCUUCAACGGCAAUCUACAUUCCACAAUCUCAAAAUCUAAACCAGGCAUGUCUUGAUAGGACCAAGCAAACACAUCAAAAUAAUCUCGAAGAAGACCAAUCAACUCCUUCUUAGCUUCUGGACACAUUUGAGACCCAAUCUUGACUUCCAUCACAUCAUCCUCGGAACCCAAGUUGAUUAAUUCAAUCUGCUCUUCAAACGGCUAAAUGUCUUUUUCCUCAUGCUCAAGCAAACAGGAUAAUUCAUCAGAUACUUCUUCAUUAUAAAUCUCUUCCUCAGCUUCAAACACAGGGAAAUCAAAGUUUGGAGAGGGAGUAGUGUAAGACCCUAAUUUUGACCCUAAGAUCCCUCAUGGCAUCAUAUCAUUUGCUCAGUGCAUUGCCUCAAGGAUCAUAGCAUGUUUAGCUCCUUAACCCUAGGGUUGGGACUUGUGUGAGUGGUUUGAGACCACCAAGCAUGCUUGUAUUGUAUAUUAUUACUUUUCUUAUUUUGAUUACUAACCAUAAGCACAAAAGUAUGUCACUAACUCUUUUUGUUUUGAAGCUCAAGUGAUCAUGUGCUCCAAUGCUCCUAGGAGGCUCCUAAGCUCAAUGAAGUGGCUAGAUGAAGAUGAGAAUAAGCAUGACAAUGGUCCACAAGCUCUAUCAUCAUAUAUGUCUCCCAAGUAUCUCUAUUUGCCAAUUUGAUCAAGAUAACCCAAAGGGCUUGAGGAUUGUUUCCCAAAGAAACUCUAAUUCAAACUGUGCUUUGACUGUGCCUUGCUUAUGAAGCCUUCCUCACAUGGUGGAUUGUUGGUUUAGGUUGAGUUUUCUCCCUUUGAUAACAAAAGACCUUAAGGCUUUUGGUCAAUCAAUUCACCAAUCUUUUGAGAUUUUUACCCCGAACUACGAGGUUUUGAUCCUACCUUUGUGAUGGUACGUAGGCAAUGGGUUCAUCCAUUCAAACAACAAAAAUCUGUAAAUAUAAUCUAUAUUAUUUUCUCAUCCCCUCCAAUCUUUUGCACAUAUUUUCAAAAAUACCAACCUACAACGCAUAUUUGCAAAAAGGAUUCCCUUAGAGUACUAAGGAUGUUUUGGGUGCGUAAAACCUUCCCAUUUCAUAACCAACCCCCUUACCCAGAUCUCUGACAUUUUUAUUAGUUUUUGAUUUGAUAAAACUUCUUACUUGGCUUUUGUUCGCUUUUUUUUAGCCUUUCCUUUGGACAAAUAAAAGUGCGGUGGCGACUCGAAUUGUAUGUUUACUUUUGGUUUAGUCAAUAAACCUAAAGGUAACGAAAACCCCGCUACAGAAAAGUGGCGACUCUGCUGGGGACUCUUUCUCUAGUAGGUUUAGCCUACUUUUUGCUUAUGUGUGUUGUAUAUUGAUGACAUAUUUUUGUGCAAAUUUGGGAUGACUGUAUUGUUUGUAUUGUAUGAAUUGCUUGAUAUAUUAAUUGCUUGUAUGCUUGGUGGUUUCUUGUGAGAUGAGUUCUAUACCCGAACUCGAGUGCACUUAUGAUAGGAGAAUGACAUGGUCUUGUUGACUUGUGUGGAGUUAUUCCUUAGCAAGUUGACUUGCAAGCCCAUUCACAUGGUGGAGGUCUUCUUGGGAUCAAUAAUGUCACACGAGUAGUCGUGGUUAGGCAUUACUCUUUCCAAUAUAAACCUUAGAAGCCAAGGACCUUAGAUACCUAGCCCAUCUUGGCCUAUUUUAGGAAGUAGUGCGAAGGUCGUUUGUCACACGAGUAGUCGUGGUUAGGCAUUACUCUUUCCAAUAUAAACCUUAGAAGCCAAGGACCUUAGAUACCUAGCCCAUCUUGGCCUAUUUUAGGAAGUAGUGCGAAGGUCGUUCAAGUGUAAGACUUGAGGCGAUUGUUACGCGAUACUACACUCAUAAGAGUCCCUCUUGAGAAUAUUUUUGGAGAACGAGUAGUCGUUUUUUCCGAUAAUAUCCGAAAGAUGAGAUGAUAACUAUGGGGACCUUUUUAGAACAUGAUUGUCAGGUUUAACCAUAGUACACUCCCAUUUUGGUGGGUCUUAACCAAGACUUCAUGCUCGUGACUUACAACAAACCCGUGAUUCGCGGUUGAUCCGUUCUCAUACAUUCUCAAUAUCAAUGGAACUUGGGUGUUGAUAAGGUGUAAACCAUAAUCCACCAAAAUGGAUGAUUGAUAUUGACAAUGACUUGAGUUAUCCCGUGACCUUUGUGUGGUGUGACUUGCUUGAUCCUUGAGUGUGAUUGUUGCAUCCAUGCGUUCAUGCAUUCAUUUGCAUCCAUAUCAGCAACAAUAAAGAAUUUUCAAGGAACUUAAGAGGUUUAUUUGCAAAUUUUUAGACAUGGAUAAGCAAAGAAGGAAUACGAAGAAGUACAGUUUCAGACAACCCGACUUGAAAGAGUUAAGGAGUUUGACAUCUUAUGUAUUAGAUCCCUUGGAGUUCAAAGCUUUAUUUGCAAAUUUUUAGACAUGGAUAAGCAAAGAAGGAAUACGAAGAAGUACAGUUUCAGACAACCCGACUUGAAAGAGUUAAGGAGUUUGACAUCUUAUGUAUUAGAUCCCUUGGAGUUCAAAGCUCUCCAUAGGAAGCUUCUGUCUAUUCUUUCUACCAAGGUGGAUGAAGGUUUGAUGAGUAUGUUGGUACAGUUCUAUGAUCCUUUGUAUCGGUGCUUCACUUUUCCGGAUUUCCAGCUUUUGCCUACAGUUGAGGAGUAUGCCUAUCAUAUGGGUAUACCUAUUCUUGAUCAGUUGCCAUUCAGUGGUUUGGAGAAGGUUUCGUCUUCUCAAGAGAUUGCUGAUAUGAUUCAUAUGGAUGUAUCUGACAUUAGUGCCAAUAUGACUACCAAAGGUGGAAUUCAAGGUCUCCCAUCUGAUUUUCUCAUUGCCAAAGCUACUUUGUUUGGGAAGGCCAUGAGUAAGGAAGCUUUUGAAGCCAUAUUUGUACUACUCAUCUAUGGGCUAGUGUUAUUUCCCAACAUCGAUAAUUUUGCGGAUGUGAACGCUAUUAGGAUUUUCUCUUCUCUUAAUCAUGUUCCGGCUCUGUUGGGUGACACUUAUUUCUCUUUGCAUAUGAGGAAUACAAAGGAUGGUGGUUCCAUUGUGUGCUGUCUGCCUCUGUUGUACAAAUGGUUUAUUUCACACUUGCCUCAGACGCUUUCCUUCAAGGAGAACAAGGGAUGUCUACGGUGGUCCAUGAGACUUAUGUCUCUCACUAAUGAUGAUAUCUCUUGGUAUAGUCGUGUUUAUGAUGGCGUUCAGAUUAUUGACUCUUGUGGUGAGUUCUCCAAUGUGCCUCUUCUUGGUACAUGUGGUGGAAUUAACUAUAAUCCCGCUUUGGCUCGCCGUCAGCUUGGGUUCCCCUUAAGGGAUAAACCUAACAACAUUGUGUUGGAAGAUUUAUUCUUUCAAGAGGGUAAAGAUCCCCAAAACUUGAAGGAUAGAAUGGUCCGCGCCUGGCGCAAAGUUCAUAGGAAAGGGAGGAAUGAGCUUGGUCCGAAGAAUUGCAUUGCUUUGGAACCUUACACCGCUUGGGUGAGGAAGAGAGCUCUUGAGUACCGCAUGCCAUAAGAAUAUCCGAGACCCACCCCUGUGGUUGUGGUUGGGCCUUUAACCCUCCCUAACCAAGGAGUAGAGGAGUUGAGAGAUGAAGACCGGUCGCGAGCAUGGGUUCGUGAGCGUGAGGAAUUUCUUCAGCAACUCAAAGAUAAGGAUGCAGUGAUAGAGUUUCUGGAGCAUCAGGUCAUUGAUGAGCCUGAUGAUGUGGUUACUUCUCUUCUUCCUCACUCAUCUAGGUUUUGGAAGAGGAAGUAUGAUAAGAUCGCUAAGGAGAAGGCCGAUAUGGAAGCAACUUAUGAGAGAGAGGUGAAGAGGCUUCGUGCAGCUUAUCUUUUGAUCUCGAAAGCUUUGGACGAUUGUUUCUAGGGCUCCAUAGGAUGAUUAUUCUCCUUUUCUCUUGUAUUGUAUUUGGUUACCAAAACUGUACUACUUCUUUGGUGUAAAAAGCUUCCAAAUAUUAUUGCUAUGAGUAUUCCAUAUAUAUCUUAAAAGUUGAAUAUUUGCAAAUAGAUCUCUAUAAAGUUCCUCUAAUAAAAACAAACCAUAUGCACAAACAUUGCAUGCAUCAUAUGCAUAAGCAGGUUUUGUUCCAAGCUCUUGAUCAGUGGUCUAACUCUUUGCUCUUCAUUUAUUUUGAAGACAAGUUGACGCACCGGUAUUCCAUAUGCACAAACAUUGCAUGCAUCAUAUGCAUAAGCAGGUUUUGUUCCAAGCUCUUGAUCAGUGGUCUAACUCUUUGCUCUUCAUUUAUUUUGAAGACAAGUUGACGCACCGGUAUAAUACCAGAUCCAAUCAUCCGAGGAUAAUGGAGCAUAUGGAGCAAGAGAACAGGGACUUAAAGGAAGAGAUUGCUAGGCUGACUUCCAUGAUGGAGUCAGUUCUGGCCGCAUAAAGCCAAGCUUCACCAACUUCUGCAACUCCUCCCGCGAGGACGGUCAUUUCUGAGAUAGCUACUUCGACCGUGCCUGCUGUAACAGCCCACUUCGCUCCGACUAUGCCAGCCGGAUUCCCUUGGGGAAUGCCUCCCAAUUUCAUGCCAGAGAGUUUUGCUCCUACUCUCGCUUCCAUGUCCGAAUCUAGCCUGGUCCUGUCUGUGCCACCUCCCAUUGGGCACACCCUUCCCCGUGUUGAAGACACCAUCUAUCAUUCCGAGCCGUCUGAGGGCCCAGACGUAUAUGAGAAGAUGGAUGAAAUGAAAGAUCAAUUCCUUGAGAUGCGCAAGGAGAUGAAGACUUUGAGGGGUAAGGACCUCUUUGAGAAAAGUGCUGCUGAGUUGUGCCUAGUGCCCAACGUGAAGAUCCCUGUUAAAUUCAAAGUGCCUGACUUUGAGAAGUAUAAGGGAAAUACAUGCCCGCUCAGUCAUCUUGUGAUGUAUGCUCGCAAGAUGUCAACACAGACUGACAACGACCAACUGCUGAUCCACUACAUUCAGGAUAGCCUGAUAGGUGCUACGCUCCGGUGGUAUAUGGGGUUGGAGAGUGCAAGCAUCCGCUCUUUUAACGAUCUAGGCGAGGCCUUCGUUAAGCAGUAUAAAUAUAAUGUGGAUAUGGCUCCGAACAGGGACCAAUUGAGGGCGAUGUCCCAGAAGGAUAAGGAGACCUUCAAGGAGUACGCCCAGAGAUGGCGAGAACUGGCAGCUCAGAUAGUGCCACCCCUGGAAGAGAAAGAGAUGACAAAGAUCUUCUUGAAGACUUUGAGCUCUUUCUAUUAUGAAAGAAUGAUUGCCAGUGCUCCCUCAGACUUCACCAAAAUGGUGAAUAUGGGGAUGAGAAUAGAAAAGGGGGUCCGUGAAGGGCGGUUAUCCCGUGAUGACGGUUCCUCAGCAAAGAAGUAUGGAGGCUUUGCUAGGAAGAAAGAGGGAGAGACUCAUGUUGUGUCCUACCAUGUCAAAAGAAGGCCCUCUGUAAGGAGGAAGGAUGUGCGUCCAGCCGUCAACCAACACCAGGUGGCUCAUAUAGCACCUGCUUUCAGAGAAUUUCAUCAACAACAACAACAAUAUCGUCAACAGCAACAGGCUUACCAGCCUCGCAAUAAUACCAACACCAGCACCAACAACUAUGAGAGGAAGAGGGUAACUUUUGACCCAAUUCUGAUGACGUAUGCUGAGCUUUAUCCUUCCUUGAUUGAUAGGUGCCAAGUGUGCACUAUCAAUGAGAGAGGAUGUCGUCAGGUGAGAAAGGACAUCCAAGAGAUGAUAGAUCAAGGGAUGAUUGAGAUACUUCAGAAUCGUAAUGAGGAUGAAGUUGAUGUAAUUACUCUUGUGUUUAAAAUGCUUGAGCCUGUCAUUAUCAAGUAUGAUAGCAGCAAGAAGAAAGUAUCGCCAGCUCUUAUGAUUAAGCCAGCAGGCCAUGUCCCGUAUGUAUCAGACAAAGUUGUUCCUUACCGAUAUAGCGCAGUCAUGCUGGAGGAUGGAAAAGAGGUGUCGUUGCCCUCAACUUUUGUGGUAAGCAUUUCAGACGUCAGUGGUGUGACCCGUAGUGGUCGUGUUUUCUCGGCGCAACCAAAAUCCCAUGAAGAUGUCAUGAAGAGAACUGUUGUUAAUCCUGCCGGUCCCGUGGGGACUUCUUCUCAAAAUAAUUUUGUUCCUAUUGUUAAGGGGGUUGACCCUGUUGCUAUUAAGAAUAAUAAUACUCCUAUCCUGGUUGGCCAGUCUGGCAUCUUGAAAGAGGAUGGUGAUGAGAUGUUGAGGCUCAUCAAAAGGAGUGAAUAUAAUGUUGUUGAUUAACUGCUACAAACUCCAUCAAAGAUAUUUGUCUUAUCUUUGUUGAUGAAUUCCGAGCCACACCGUGAAGCUUUGCAGAGGGUGUUGGACGUGGCAUACGUGGAUCACGAUGUCACCAUCGAGCAGUUUGAUAGUAUUGUUGCAAAUAUAACCGCUUGCAACAAUCUGAGCUUCUGUGAUGCUGAUCUUCCCGAGGAGGGAAAAGACCACAAUUCGUCUUUACACAUAUCUAUGAAAUAUAAGGAUGAUGCCUUGUCCAAUGUGUUGGUGGACACAGGGUCAUCUCUUAAUGUGUUGCCAAAAUCCACUCUUGCUAAGCUUGCAUAUCAGGGGCCUCCCAUGAGGCAGAGUGGGUGGUUGUGAAGGCGUUUAAUGGAUCACGUAAAACUGUGAUCGGCGAAUUAGAACUCUCGAUCAAGAUUGGACCUAGUGACUUCCAGAUCACUUUCCAAGUCAUGGACAUCCAUCUGUCUUAUAGCUGUUUGCUGGGUAGACCCUGGAUUCACGAGGCAGGUGUCGUGACAUCCACCCUACACCAAAAGUUGAAGUUCGUGAAGAACAAGAAGUUGGUGGUGAUAGGGGAAGAGAAGGCUCUCUUGGUCAGUCAUUUAUCUCCCUUCUCCUAUAUCGAUGCUGAGAAUGAGGUUGGGACUCCGUUCCAAGCCUUAUCUAUUGCUGAGCCUUCAAGGAAAGGAUUUUUUUCAUCUGUAUUCUAUAAUGAUGCGAAGUUGGCCAUUGAGCAUGGUGCGGCUACUGGUUUGGGGAAAAUGAUCAAGAUGGAAGAUAACAAGUCCCAAGCUAGCAUAAGGGUAUUCUUCUGGUGUUUCCAAUGAUCAUGGGUUGUUCCAGAGUGGAGGUUUCAUCCAUACCGUUGAAGAUCAGGAAGCUGCUACCAUUGUUGAAGAUGAUGAAGAGGAAGACUUUGGCAAUUUUGUUAUACCCGGAGGAAUCUGCAAUAAUUGGGUCGCUGUUGAUGUUCCAACAGUUAUCCACAAGUCAACGUAAUGUGUUCAUUUUGUUUGAAAACCCUUCUCCUAUGCCAAAAGGAGAAGUAAAGACAUUGUUGGCAUAAUUUGAUUAAUACAAUGAUAUUCAUUCAAUGAUGACAUGUUAAAUGUUUGUUUUUCCAAAAUUAUUCUUCCUUUUUGCUUUUUGCAUGAAAUUGGUGAUCACUAUAAAACCAUAAAAAAAAAGAAUAAAAUCAAUCUUUUCAUCUGCAUAAUGAUUUGCCUUGUUUGAAUUCUGAAAUCUCUUUUAUACUCAAAAUCAUUAUGCAGGUUAAUCAAACCCAUUGAACAUAAUGAUCCAACACUAUAAAAUCAAUCUUUUCAUCUGCAUAAUGAUUUGCCUUGUUUGAAUUCUGAAAUCUCUUUUAUACUCAAAAUCAUUAUGCAGGUUAAUCAAACCCAUUGAACAUAAUGAUCCAACACCAUCUCCCAAGGAUAUGGAGAAGACAACAUUCAUCACACAUUGGGGAACAUUUUGUUAUCAAGUGAUGCCCUUCGGUUUGAAGAACGCCGGAGCCACGUAUCAACGAGCUAUGACUACCUUGUUUCAUGAUAUGAUGCACAAAGAGAUCGAGGUAUAUGUUUAUGAUAUGAUUGCAAAGUCAAAAACGGAAGUUGAACAUGUAGAACACUUGUUGAAGCUUUUCCAGCGUUUGAGGAAGUAUAAACUCCGCCUGAAUCCGAACAAGUGUACAUCUGGAGUCCGUUCCAGCAAGUUAUUGGGCUUUAUUGUCAGCGAAAGAGGUAUUGAAGUUGAUCCUGCCAAGGUCAAAGCAAUAGUAUUAAAGAGUAUUUGUCUGAGCCUCUGAUUCUGUCUCCGCCUGUUGAAGGGAGACCAUUGAUUAUGUACUUGACUGUGCUUGAUGAUUCCUACCCAACACAGGAACCAGUCGUUCUACUUAGUCCUUUCUUAGAAUAUGCAAUAUACUACUUGAGUAAGAAGUUUACUGACUGUGAGUCUCGGUACUCAAUGCUUGAGAAGACAUGUUAUGCUUUGGCUUGGGCUGCUAAGCGCUUACGCCAGUAUAUGCUGAAUCAUACAACUUGGUUGAUAUCCAAAAUGGAUCCAAUCAAGUAUAUCUUUGAGAAGCCUACUUUAAAUGGGAGGAUUUCCUGUUGGCAGAUGUUGUUAUCUGAGUAUGAUAUUGAGUAUCGAGCUCAAAAAGCUAUUAAAGGUAGUAUCUUGGCUGACCGUUUGGCGCAUUAACUAAUUGAAGAUUAUCAGUCUGUGCAGUAUGACUUCCCUGAUAAGGAGAUUCUGUAUUUGAAGAUGAAAGAUUGUGAUGAGCCUACGCUCGAUGAAGGGCCAAAGCCUGGUUCCUGAUGGGGUAUGGUGUUCGAUGGUGCUGUCAAUCAGUAUAGAAAUGGUAUUGGGGCAGUGAUUAUUACUCCUCAAGGUACACAUUUUCCUUUUACAGCAAGGCUAACUUUCAAAUGCACGAACAAUAUGGAGGAGUAUGAGGCCUGUAUUAUGGGUUUGGAAGAGUGUAUUGAUCUUAGGAUCAAACAUCUUGAUGUUUAUGGUGAUUCGGCCCUUGUUGUUAAUCAGAUUAAGGGUGAAUGGGAGACGAAUCAGCCUUUCUUGAUGUUUAUGGUGAUUCGGCCCUUGUUGUUAAUCAGAUUAAGGGUGAAUGGGAGACGAAUCAGCCUGGCCUCAUCCCAUACAGAGAUUAUGCGAGGAGGAUUUCAACUUUCUUUACUGAGGUUAACUUCCAUCAUAUUCCUCGAGAUGAGAAUCGGAUGGCAGAUUCUCUUGCUACGGUUGCUUCAAUGAUUGUAGUAAAGUAUUGGAAUGAAGUCCCUAAUAUUACUGUGAUGCGCUUGGAUAGACCAGCUCAUGUGUUUGCAGUUGAAGAAGUAAAAGAUGGUAAGCCAUGGUAUUGUGAUAUCAAGUGUUUUCUCCAAAGUCAGACUUACCCAUCUGGGGCAUCUGUUAAAGACAAGAAAACUUUGAGGAGAUUAUCUGGCAGUUUCUACCUUAAUGGUGAUGUGCUUUACAAGAGGAAUUUUGACAUGGUUCUUCUCAGAUGCGUGGAUAGACACGAAGCAGACUUGUUGAUGACUGAAGUCCAUGAAGGUUCAUUUGGUACUCAUUCCAAUGGGCAUGCCAUGGCAAAGAAGAUGUUGAGAGCAGGCUACUAUUGGCUAACAAUGGAGUCUGGCUGCUGCAAAUAUGUGAAUAGAUGCCACAAGUGUCAGAUUUAUGCGGAUAAGAUUCAUAUUCCCCCGACACUUCUGAAUGUUAUUUCCUCACCAUGGCCUUUCUCUAUGUGGGGAAUUGACAUGAUUGGCAUGAUUGAGCCGAAGGCGUCUAACGGUCACCAUUUUAUUCUCGUAGCUAUUGAUUACUUCACCAAGUGGGUUGAAGCGGCAUCAUAUGUGAAUGUGACCAGGCAGGUGGUUGUGAAGUUUAUCAAGAACCAACUCAUAUGCCGAUAUGGUGUGCCAGACAAGAUCAUUACCGAUAAUGGAUCUAACUUGAACAACAAGAUGAUGAAAGAGUUGUGUAGCGAGUUCAAGAUUGCAUAUCAUAAUUCUUCUCCCUAUAGACCCAAGAUGAAUGGGGAUGUUGAAGCUGCUAACAAGAACAUCAAGAAGAUUAUUCAAAAGAUGGUUGUUACGUACAAAGAUUGGCAUGAGAUGCUGCCAUUUGCUUUGCAUGGUUAUCGUACAUCUGUCCGCACUUCAACAGGGGCAACCCCUUUCUCUCUUGUAUAUGGCAUGGAGGUUGUGCUCCCCGUAGAGGUCGAGAUCCCAUCAAUGAGAGUCUUGAUGAAAGUCAAGUUGACUGAGGCUGAAUGGAUUCAGAGUCGUUUUGACCAGUUGAAUUUGAUUGAAGAGAAGAGAUUAACUGUCAUGUGCCAUGGUCAGUUAUAUCAGCAAAGGAUAAAGAAAGAAUUUGAUAAGAAGGUCAAGCCUCGUGCGUUCCGAGAAGGUGACCUUGUGCUCAAGAAAGUCUUGUCUUUCGCACCCGAUUCCAGGGGAAAGUGGACUCCAAACUAUGAAGGUCCAUAUGUUGUUAAGAGAGCCUUUUUAGGCGGUGCUUUGUUACUUACAACUAUGGAUGGGGAGGAUUUCACUCGUCUUGUGAAUUCAGAUGCAGUCAAGAAAUACUUCGCCUAAAAAUAAAAACAGAUUAGCUCGCUAAGUUGAAAACCCGGAAGGGCGGCUUAGGCCAAAAUGAGCGUCUCGGUGGAUUGAAAACCCGAAAGGGAGGUCCAGGAAAAAGUUAGAGACGUGAAAAAUAAUAAAUAUCUCACUAGAUUGAGUACCUCACCCUGGGGCAAUCUAGACAAAAAUUAGGGAGUUGGCAAGUAACUGCAUCCUGACAAGACUUUGCUCUACAACUGUCAUCUGUCAAAGAUUCUCGCUCAGUCGUUGUCAACCGAAGCGUCAAAUACAGUGAAUUCAGAGUUGGUGGAGAAACGGUCAUUAUGUUCAAUGUAGCCCUUUUUCCAUGAAUAUUACCAAUUUCAAAUUUGUAAAGAUCCAUGGAGUCUCGCCAUUUGAGGACUACCAUUCUAUUAAAGAAAUUUGAGCCUUUAUCCAAUUCUUUGCACUCUUACUUGUUUCUGUUUAACAAAUGUUUGCAUGUUUUAAUUGAUAAAUAUCAUUGUUUUAAAUAAAUAAAGUUUUAUAAACUAUUUUAAACAAAAUGAACGUUCACAGUGACUGAAAGGAUAGUCGGAACGUCUUCAGUGCUUUCUCAAGGAUAGUACGAUUUCCAAAAAGGUAAGACAUUUGGUCAUGUUCUGGCAUGUUUAUAUCCUCUUCAUCAACUUUCAUGUUGUUUCCUCAGUAAGAAGUUGUCUAGAGCAGUUGGUGGAGGGUUUGUUUCUCUUUCUAUCCCCGGCAUGUCACGUGUUGACGAAGGAUUCGCUUCCGAUUUUCUCAGCCAAGGCAGUUUCCUUUGAAGGUUGCCUACAGCUUAUCCCCUGCAGGGUUGGUUGACCUGAGUUUGAUAAUUUGUAUCCCCUCCGCAUUUGAAGAUUUCUCCUAAGUAUUGAGAGAUGCUGAGGAAGAUGUGUUAUUUCCUUCCCUAGCGGAGCUAAUUGUUCUUUCUCCCCUUCGCAGAGUUGGUCUCUCCAGCAGUUAGAAAGAUUUGUUUCGAUAGAUGGGUAUCUGUUUGGCGUUGGCUCCCCAGUAGAGUUUUCUUCCACGACAGGUCUUAUUGAUAUUCAACCACCUGUUCCCGAGAAUUGAUGAGAAGUCCCUGGCGGUUGGCAACUAUGACUUUGCCUGUCCCCAACUGUGAUCGGUGUCUUCCAGUAUUUGAUGCAUCCUCACCAGAGCUGAUUUCUCCAGUAGGCUUUGCCUUUCUUGUUGAGAUGUUGUGCCAGAUGUCUAUUCUUGAUUCUUGGACCUGUUUGUGUUUGAUAUGUCUGUUUGUCAGCAUUAAUCAUACACAAAUCAUGCAUAUACAUGCAUAAUCAUAGUAUUCAGAUAUUCAUGUUGCAUUCUUUGCCAUAUAUCUUUGCUUGAUAUCUCCUGCUAUUGGUGAAACGUUCUUCCCCCAAGCAGAUGUUUGUGUCUGAUCUCUCCAUAUAGAGUCAGACCCAUAAGCAGAAAGUGUCUAUCUUUCCCUUUUUAUUCCCCACCGAGUUAUGUCCUCAUGGAUGAUUAUUGUUUCAGUUUCCUCCCCAGUUAUGUAUCGGGAUGGAAUUACUCCCCUGAGUUAUAUCCUCAUUGGGAUGAGUCUUGUGUGAUUGUGUCUUUCUAGUUUGUUCCUAGAACUGACUCCUUUCUUGUUAUCCCCUGCAGUUUCCUGUGGUUUAGUUGAUCAAUUGCUCAAUAACCAGUAAUUGUUCAUCAUUUUCCCCAUCGAACUUUGUGGCCUUCUACCCAGUAACCGGUAGUUGUAAGUCCUGUUUCUGUGGUUUUCUACUCAGUAACCGGUAGAUAUAAUCCCCUCUUUGUUGGUUAUCUUUACCCAGUAACCGGUAUUGAUAUUCCUUCAUUUUGAGUAUACCACCCAGUAACCGGUGAUAUAUCUCCUGGAUGAUUGCUUUUGUCAGGCAAUUUAUCCCUUACGAGUCAUCUUUCACCCAUGUUUGGUAAUGAUUGUUCCUCCUUCUGAUUGGUCAUCAUUUUAUACCCAGUAACCGGUAUCCCGAUGUCCUUUCUUUUCGGUCGAUUUAUCCUUCAUUAACCCAGUAACCGGUUGUGGAUAAUCUUCCAUGCGAGUAUGUUAUCUUUCAUUUUAUACCCAGUAACCGGUAUCCCGAUGUCCUUUCUUUUCGGUCGAUUUAUCCUUCAUUAACCCAGUAACCGGUUGUGGAUAAUCUUCCAUGCGAGUAUGUUAUCUACGUUAUGACGGUAAUAAAUAAUAUGUCUCAUGCGCUCUUCAGUUGAAGUCUUUUUCUUCCUCAGUCGAGUAAGAUUCGUAUUUCCUCGUGGAAUCGAAUGUCCAUCCUGUAAGUCGAAUUUGGCUAUUCAGCCCUCCUUUCGGAUGAUGAGUGUCUUGGAUAUUGUUCCUAAUUCACGUUUGGUUCACCUAUUAUAUGCCCAGUAACCGGUAUCCCUGGUGUUCCUUCCUUCUGCUCCCAAUUAUGACUUUUUGUCCCCUGUGGAGUCAGAUUUUCCUGAGUUGAGAUGUGCCUUUUGGGUCCUCCUCAGAUGUUUCGGAUGAUUGAUAUCUCUCACCCUUAUAUCGGUCUUAGAUAUUCUUUCUCCCUGAGCGUGUUGUUCUCUCACCCAGUAACCGGUGUUUCAAUAAUAUGUCUCUCCUUGAGUUUAUUACCUAGUAACCGGUAAUAUCUCGUUGUUUCUUCCUCAACUGAGUCCUUUGUUGAUAUCCCCGUCUGAGUCCGGAUUCUUCAUCCGAUGUAUCCUUUGUGGAUAAUUUUGCUGUAUUGGCAUUUUCCACAAUACAUGCAUCUUUGCGUCAGCUCGAGUCUUUCCAUCGAUUUAUUUUCGCGGAAUCCCUUCGUGUCUCCCAGCAAGUCUUCAAGUCGUGACCUGCUCACGCAUUUUUACCUUAUUUCCCCCAGAGUCUUUGUCUCCCUAGUGAGUGUGUUACUCCUAUGGAUUUUUUCAGUUUCUCCUGAUUUCUUUUCCUUCAUGACAAUCAUUCACCGUGAAGAUUUUAAUUUGCAUGCAUACAUUUGCAUCAUGAGGUCUCUUAGGGACCAAAAUUCGUCUCUUUGUUAUUAUUUAAGCCCAUUCUACUGCGUCGAGACGAAGAUUUUAACCUUCAUAUCUCUGACUAGAAUGACCUUAAAUAGGGGCAUCUGUAAGACCCUAAUUUUGACCCUAAGAUCCCUCAUGACAUCAUAUCAUUUGCUCAGUGGAUUGCCUUAAGGAUCAUAUCAUGUUUAGCUCCUUAACCCUAGGGUUGGGACUUGUGUGAGUGGUUUGAGACCACCAAGCAUGCUUGUAUUGUAUAUUAUUGCUUUUCUUAUUUUGAUUACUAACCAAAAGCACAAAAAUAUGUCACUAACUCUUUAGUUUUGAAGCUCAAGUGAUCAUGUGCUCCAAUGCUCCUAGAGGCUCCUAAGCUCAAUGAAGUGGCUAGAUGAAGAUGAGAAUAAGCAUGACAAUGGUCACAAAGCUCCUAAUCAUCAUAUAUGUCUCCCAAGUAUCUCUAUUUGCCAAUUUGAUCAAGAUAACCCAAAGGGCUUGAGGGUUGUUCCCAAAGAAACUCUAAUUUAACUGUGCUUUGACUGUGCCUUGCUCAUGAAGCCUUCCUCACAUGGUGGAUUGUUGGUUUAGGUUGAGUUUUCUCCCUUUGAUAACAAAAACCUUAAGGCUUUGGUCAAAUCAAUUCACCAAUCUUUUGAGAUUUUUACCCCGAACUACGAGGUUUUGAUCCUACUUGUGAUGGUACGUAGCAAUGGGUUCAUCCAUUCAAACAACAAAAUAUGUAAAUAUAAUCUAUUUUUCUCAUCCCUCCAAUAUUUGCACAUAUUUUCACAAAUACCAACCUACAACGCAUAUUGCAAAAAGGAUAUCCUUAGAGUACUAAGGAUGUUUUGGUGCGUAAACCUUCCCAUUUUCAUAACCAACCCCCUUACCCAGAUCUCUGACAUUUUUAUUAGUUUUUGAUUUGAUAAAACUUCUUACUUGGCUUUUGUUCGCUUUUUAGCCUUUCCUUUGGACAAAUAAAAGUGUGGUGGCGACUCGAAAUGUAUAUUUACUUUUGGUUUAGUCAAUAAACCUAAAGGUAACGAAAACCCCGCUACAAGUAGGAUCAUUGUAUUCAAUGGGUUUGAGAACCAACUUGCAUAAUGAUUUGAUAUUUUGAUUUUAGAGAAGUGUAGUGCGAUCAAAUAUUAUGCAGAUGGAAGAUUAUUAUUUAUUAUUUAUAUUUUUUGUGAUUACCAUUUUCAGAAAAAGCAAAAAGUGAAAAUAAAACAUCAUAGAUGUGGAUGAAUAAAAUUAUCUUUUAUUGAUGAUAAUAAUAAAAAUGCCCAACAAUGUUCACUUCUCCCUUAGGCAUAGGAGAAGGAUUUUUCUUAAAGAUAAAAAUAAAUUACUUAGAACGAUGAAUGACAACAGGAACAUCAACAGCAACCCAGUUGUUGCAAGUCUGGUCAUGCGUCACAAAGUUGGCGUAAGCUUCGUCUUCAUCACCAUUGUCUUCAAUAAUGGCAGUUGAGUAUUGAUUAUUCCCAUGAAUGAACUCUCCACUGCAGAAAUUUGGUUGCAUAACUUUGACUUUAGUGUUGAACGACCCUGGUUGAAAUCCCAAUCCGGCUCUAUUCUUGUUCUCGACAAUAUCUAUCACACGACCCCACUGAUCAAUGCUGCCAACCUGAAUAGCCUCUUAUGCAUCUUUCAAAGAAGACAUGGGUGCCCCAGUUUUCUUUAUUUCAUCAGCAAUGGACAAGGCUUGGAAAUACGCUUCAACCUCCUCCUCAGCUUCAACAUACGUGAAGGAUGACAAAUGGCUCACCAACAAUGCCUUCUCUCCACAAUAAUGACAAGCUUGUCGUUCUUAACAAAUUUCAGCUUUUGGUUUAGAGCAGACGUCACUGCUCCAGCUUCAUGAAUCCAUGGCCUUCCUAACAAGCAGUUGUAGGCCGGAUGGAUAUCCAUUACUUGGAAAGUAAUUUGGAAAUCACUCAGACCUAUCUUCACUAGAAGGUCCACUUCACCAAUGACAGUUUUACGAGAACCGUCAAACGCUUUGACAACCACGCCACUGUACCUCGUUGGGGCGCCUUGAUAGGAGAGUCUUGACAACGUAGAUUUUGGAAGCACAUUCAAAGAUGACCUUGUAUUAACCAACACAUUAGACAGAUCAUCCUCCUUGCAGUUUAUUGAAAUAUGAAUGCCAAAUUGUGAUUUUUGCCUUCCUCAGAAAGCUCUUCAUCACAAAAACCCAGAUUAUGAUAAGAAGUAAUAUUGGCAACUAUGUGGUCAAACCGAUCCACAGUCACAUCAUGCUCAACAUAAGCCUGUUCCAACACUUUUUGUAGUGCCUCCUUAUGUGCUUCAAAAUUCAUCAGUCGUGACAACACAAAUAUCUUUGAUGGUGUCUAGAGGAGCUACUCUACCACAUUGAAUUUACUUCUUUUAAUUAACUUUAGCACCUCAUCAUCAUUGUUAGUCUUCAACUUUGUGGACUCACCAGACUGACCUGUUGGAGCACUGAUCGAAUUCACUACUGGAAUUUUUGCUUUCUUACUUGUUGACACAUCUUCUAUUAUCUUAGGGAAAACCGGACUGAACACAUGAUCACUACGGGUCACCUUUGCUACAUCGACAAUAUUCACCACUGAAUCUGCGACUGGUAGAGGAACCUCUUGAUCAUCUUCAAUCAUAGUGGCGUUGUACUGAUACGGCGUAACUUUAUCGGAUGAGUAGGGGACAGGGCAUGUUAACUGUAUAACCAACGACGAUACCGAUCUAUUAACAUUGUUGUUGCUGCUACUAUCAAAUUGAAUAAUUACCCGCUCAGGGGUCUUGAAUACAUGCACAAUUACAUUCACAUCAUCUAUAUCCCUUGACUGUUGAAUCUGGAUUACAUUCUCAUCCACCAACUUCUGGAUAUCCCUUUUGACAAUCAUACACCCACGGGGGUUCACGCUACAUAUUACACAACCAUCAUGGUUAUGUUCACAGUCACUGAUCAAACACAAGGUUCUAUGCAUUUCCAUCAACGGCCUACGGAUACUUCGUACAUCAAAUACUCGGAAAUUCCCUGGACAUCCGUCCACCAGGUUGACAAAAGCAUUACCAUGAGUAGGCAAUGGAUUAGCUUUCACAUUUUGCGCUCUGUCCUCAAAGGACACCAUACCACUCUUCACAAGCUUUUGAACUUCAUGUUUCAAUGGAUAGCAGUUCUCUAUGUCAUGGCCAGGGGCUCCCUGGUGAAAGGCACAUUGUAAAUCAGGUUUAAACCACCAUGGAAGUGGCUCAGGAAUUUGCGGAGGAUUUCUUGGUUGAAUGAGGUUCUUGAGAAUCAAUGAUGGGUACAAUUCUGCAUAUGUCAUAGGAAUAGGGUCAAAAGAGACCUUUUUCCUCUCAAAGCUUUGUUGAUGAUGAUUAUUGUUGUUGUUGUAGUUGAUUUUUGUUACGGUUGUUGUUGUUGAGUUGGAACUGAUUGAUUAGAAUUAUUAGAAAAACUGGAAUUAUUGAAGAAACUUGAUGUUGAUGUUGACGAGGUUGAGAACUUUUUCUGACAUGAGGCCUCAUCUGCCUCCCUACUGAUACUGAAUUAGUCUUUCCUUCCUUCCUCUUGGAGAAACUCCCACCGUACUUCUUGUUGGAUGAUGCUUCUUCCUUAGACAGACGUCCUUCACGGACUCCUUCCUCUAGCCUUAUCCCCAUAUUUUCCAUUUUGGUAAAGUCAUUGGGGGCACUCGCGAUCAUACGUUCAUAAUAAAACAAACUAAGCGUCUUCAAGAAGAUCUUCGUUAUUUUCUUCUCCUCAAGAGGUGGACUUAUCUGGGCAGCAAGCUCUCUCCAUCUCUGAGCAUACUCUUUGAAUGUCUUCUUAUCUUUUUGAGACAUCGACCUCAAAUGGUAUCUAUCAGGCGCCAUAUCCAUAUUAUACUUAUACUUAUUAACAAAAGCCUCGCCUAAGUCAUUGAAAGUACGGAUGCUUGCACUGUCCAAACCCAUAUGCCAUCUCAAAGCAGCUCCAGUUAAACUGUCUUGGAAAUAGUGAAUCAGUAACUGAUCAUUAUCAGUCUAAGUAGACAUUUUCCUGGCAUACAUCACUAGAUGUCUUAGUGGGCAAGUGUUCCCUUUAUACUUUUCAAAGUUGGGGACCUUGAACUUCAUCGGGAUCUUAAUAUUAGGGACCAAGUAGAGUUCAGCAACACUCUUCCCAAAUAAGUAUUUCCCUCUCAAAGUCUUCAACUCUUUGCGGAGCUCGAGGAAUUGAUCUUUCAUCUCAUCCAUUUUAUCAUAGACAUCUGGACCCUCAGACGGCUCAGAAUGAUAGAUAGUUUCUUUAACACGAGGCAGAGUGCGAACAACCGGAGGUGGCACUGACAUGACCAAGCUAGAUGUCUGCAUAGAAACAAAUAUGGGCGCAUACCCUUUUGGCACAGAAUUAGGUGGCAUUCCCCAAGGGAAUCCAACAGGCAUGGAUUGACUGGCAGCAGCAAUCGAAACUGUUGAGGUAGCAACCUCAUAAAUGAUAGUUCUUUGAGGAGGAGGAGUUGCAGGAGUUGGUGAAGACUGAUUUUGUGCAACAAUGAUAGAUUCCAUCAGCACCGUUAAUCUUGGUAUCUCGUCCUUCAACUCUCAGUUCUCUUUCUCUAGAUGCUCCAUGAUUCUUGGUUGAUUAGCACGAGUAUUGUAUCGGUGAGUCAGCUUGGUUGAUGCACAAAAGAAGAACUGAUAAGACAUCUAGCGGAAGAAAAACCUAUCGUGCAAAUGAUGCAUGAAAUGCAAUAUUUUUUUAUUGUUUUUAAUUUCAAGGAACAUACGAAGUCCUAUUUGCAAAUAUAUUAAUAAUAACAAUAACAAUAAUUUAAUUGACCAUAAAAUCUAUUUUUAUUCAUAAAAUUUGGAAGGAUUACACUGAGUACAAUUUCAGAAACCAAAAUACAAAUACAAGAGAAAAGGAAACUAUCAUCCUAAGGAUCCCUAGCAAUUGCACUAGAUGAUCGGGUUAUGGGUGCGUACUUCCUUCGGAUGUGUCGAAUAAUCAGGCUAUGAGCCUUCUCAAGAACUAAUUGAUCUACAAUCUUCUUCCAAGCACCGGAAGGCUAAGGCGUACUAGAGGAAGGUAGACCCUCUGGAUCUCUCUGUCUCUUAACUGCUCGGUCUUCAAGAAUCUCAAUAAGCACAUCCUUGUCUUUCGACUCAAGCUGCAACUCUUCAUGCUUCCGGCUCAAAGCACGGAGCCGCUCUUCCCACAUAUCUUUCUCUUGCUUCAUCUUGGCAAGUGAGUCUUCCAACUCCUCUACAUUUUGGUUAGAGAGAGUUGAUGAC